Molecule: long non-coding RNA, 66347 nt
Filed under: Setaria viridis
Lineage: Eukaryota; Viridiplantae; Streptophyta; Magnoliopsida; Poales; Poaceae
Description: long non-coding RNA (SVIR_LNC007156)
Source: RNAcentral
CAAGAAGGAUGAGAAGGCCGUCAACGCCGCGCGCCGCUCCGGCGCCGAGAUCGAGACCAUGAAGAAGUGUGAGUGGUGCCCUAGCUCUCGAUUGGCUCCCCCCAUCUUUUACUGGAUCGAUUGGGGACUUCGUUUUCUCGUUGCGGAUUCGUACGGAUUUCGAUUUCGUCCGUCUUGCUGGCGGUCGUGCUGUUCGAUUGGUCAGAUUCGACGAUUAGGGUUUCGUUAUUUCGGUGCUUCUGAUUUAUUCUUUGAUGCUUUUGUGUACUUUUCGGGAUUUUUCCUUGCUUUAGCUAGCUAGGGUUUGAGGAAGUUUCGAUCGGUGCUAUCGAUCUUUGGGUUGUUUUUUUUUUCUGCUAUUUGUUUCUUUACCAAAAAAAUUUCCAGCACUUCUCUGAUUUCUCUGAUUCUGCUUGAUCUGUGUGUUGACAACUUUUGUUGUUUGCAGACAACGCUGGGACGAACAAGGCGGCGUCCAGUGGCACAUCCCUCAACACCAAGCGGCUCGACGACGAUACUGAGAAUCUUACCCGUGAGCAAUCAUUAUCCCCGACCAUCUUAUGCAUUAACAAAUUAUCGUGAUGCUUAUUUUCUAAUCCGUUCGGGGACUAUCACCUCGGAUGUAUGAUAAAUUAAUUAGGAUCUAGGUUCGGUUGUCUCAUAGUACUUUGCUUGCUAUUGUAAUCUCAGUGGUGUAGAGAUGGAAGUCUUGACUUGAUACUAAAAUUUUCCCACUUUAUUAGCGAUGCUGAUAUUCAUUUGUUUGCUAGAAAAAAAUGUUAUCGGGGAAGUAUUGUAUACCAUUGUGCAUAUAGUUUUACCAUGUUUCUAGCAAUUGCAUAGUUAUGCCAAAGCAUAGAACACAGGUAAAGUUGUUUUUUGUUGGUCAGGGUUUUGAUUAAAGGCAUGUUUCCCCGCAUUAUAGUAUAUGUACAUUGAAAUUCUUGUAACCUUGCUGUUGUUAAGGGUGCAAGAAUAUCACUGUAUUUUCGGAUGAGAACAUUUUUUUUGCUUGUUGCAUUGACCUGUGCAAAUAUAUGUCUUUCAACUGAUGUCCCACGGUCAAUAUCUGGUACACACUUAUCAAUUUUGUUUUUUUUUUUAAAUUGUUCGGUGCCUACUAAGUAGCUGUUUAUUCAAGCUGUUCAAGGUUUCAGUAACAAUAUUUUUAUCACGUGAGCAUCUUGCAUGAGUGAUAAUCUGCUUACAAUAGUAACUCUAUUGGCUUGUCAGGGCAUGUGGUACUUUUGUGAUAUGUAGACAUGGGGUUAAUGUGUAUGAGCUGCAAUGCCAUAGUAUCAAUGUAAUGCUGACAUGCUUACAAUUUUUUGUUGGUGGCGCCAAUGGCUUGCUAUGAUAUGUUAGUAGACAUAAUAUUGUCAGCCUUAAAGUGCAAUCUGUAUAGUAUGAUUCUAGUGUAAUGGAAAUUUACAAAGUGUAUCAAAAGCUUGGCACUUCUGCUCAGUGUGUCCUGAUCUGAGUUUAGAUUACAUUGGUCCUUUGCCCAUUAGUUCCUGACCUCUACUUUAGAUUACAUCAUGUUUUGGUUCGCUUCAAACUAAUACUUUUUCAAGUCUGAGUGCUACAAUGCAAAGCUUUGGUCUUUGCUGCUGGGUGUAAUACUUAUUUGGUCAAGGAAAUAUGUGACUUCUUGCUGAGAUCUGUUCGAAAAUUGUGUUGUGAGCUUUUCUUUAGUCCAAUGGCUAUGGUAAUGAUGAAAUGGGAGCAAUGCAAUGCACCUUUUUUUUUUGGUUUGUUGAGUCAUGAUUAGUUCCAAGGCUCUGGGAUGCUCGCACUUUCAUGUCAACUCUGUUAGUUCUGCAACAAGUUGUUUCAGCAUUAUUUCAUGGACACACAGUGCCAGUUUCCCGUAGCAAUUUUAUCUGUAUGAAAAUAAAUUAUACAAUAGUUAGUGUUUUGUUUUAUCAUUGGGGCAUAUUUGGUUCAUAUGUUCUGUGUGGAUCUGUACAAAAGAUCAACUUUUGGAUCCAUCACUUACCUCAUUUCAUUUCACAUCUUAAAUGAAGAUGAAUUAGAUAUCGAGGAAUCACUACAGGAUGUCACUGUUGUUUCCAUACCGACCUAGUAUGGACGGCUAUCAAUUCGAGUAGUUCAGCACUGGAAUGGAAUAUAAACUUGUUGCAUCUAUUCGAAUACCAUGCGCUAGUUCAAACUUCAAAGUAAACAUGAUCCGAGUCCCCCACAGAAGAUUGCACCAUGCUUUACAUGUAUUUCAUUUCAUAACUAGCAUUCUGAUAAUAACUGAUGUCAUCUCACUUUGUGCUAGAUGAGCGUGUCCCAAGUGACCUGAAGAAAAACCUCAUGCAAGCAAGGCUGGAUAAGAAGCUGACUCAAGCACAGCUUGCUCAGGUAAUACAAGUAUUUACAAAUAUAGUUCCAUUCUUUCCUGAGCAAAUGGGGGUGUGGCCUUCUAAUUAAAUGGCAUUUUAUUUUACUACCACAGAGUGGCAACAUGGUAUCAAAGUGGUAGUUUUGCAUAAAGUAGAAUUUUCCAAAGAGAUGAAAAUAUGCUCUUACAACUACUGACAAUAUGUCAUGUGGGAACAGAUGAUUAAUGAGAAGCCACAAGUGAUCCAGGAGUAUGAGUCGGGCAAGGCGAUCCCUAACCAGCAGAUUAUUGGCAAGCUCGAGAGAGCCCUGGGAACAAAGCUGCGUGGUAAGAAAUAACUUGCGAACUGGUGCCCUGGAGCAGCAUGAAGCUGAAGAAGACAAGGCUAUCUGUCUGCUUAUUAUCUAUGCUUGGUUUUCAAAGUCAUGCAGACUAUUUCUGUGUUGGUACAUGAGUGAAUAACAGUGUCGUGGGUGGACCUUGUAAUGCUUUGCUGCUUUGAUGUGUCAUAUGACCUAGUGCGUAAGAGUUGCGCUAAGCUGUGAACUGAUAGCGUAACCUGCGUGAUGCUGGUGCAUGAUGAUGCUUUCUACUAGUGGUUGUUAAUGAUGUCUCAGCUGCUUGCCGGAGGUAUAUUUUGGGUCUUCGCUGAAGCAUUGAUAGUAUCCACGGUAAUAUUAAGCGUGAGAAGCUGUCAUCCGGCGGUUAAAACUGCGAUUAUGCUGUAAGGAUUUGACGGGUAGCCUGAAUUGGGUUAAAACCGCGAUUAUGCUCUAAGGAUUUUACACGGUAGUGAUUUGGGCUCACACCCGGUGCUAGGCUAUCUACAGUGAUUUUUUAAAACAAUGAUGGUUGUGAUCAAUCCUAGCAGUUAGUUUCCCAAACCACUUCAGCUGCUACAAAUCCGCUGCCUCCCUGCGGCCUUUCGAUCGGAUGCAAAGGCAGCCACUGACAUGCUGUGCCUCUGGUGGGCUCAAAGAAAAACAGCUGUUGGGCUUGCUUCCCUUCCCCGCCGACCCAGCGCAGCUAAACGGGCCUGCAAAGUUAGAUGUAGCCCAUCAAUGUAAAGCACAUGGGAAUUUGAAAACCUAGCUUCCGGAAGCCCAUUUGUUACGUGGCCUUUUAAGAUUCGUGUUAACAAUUUUGUCCAGGACCUUGCUGCUGCUACCGCCGGCUGCACGCCCCCGCCGUGCGUGGAGCGCGCUGCUGCUGUCGCCGCUAGCGCUGUCGAUGCCGUGCACGCCGUCGUUACUGCUGCUUCCGCUGCCGCCGCCGUGCGCACCGCCACCAGUGAUGCGCCGUUGACGAAGAAGCUGCUAGAAGUUUUUUUUUUUGUCGAAAUGUCGAAUUAGGUUUAAAAAAUAUUUUUUUUGAAAUGUUGAAUUAGGUUUAAAAACUGUUGAAUCUAAUUUUUGAAAAUGUUGAAAUAGAUGGUAGUAAAUGUUAAUGUGGUAUUUUUCUACAAAUGUUGAUAUAUUAGAGGGAUAUAGGUACCCCACGGGUCUCCACCGACUAGGAUACUGGCCGGUCCUGACAAGUGGACCCGCCCGACCAGGGCGUGUGGGUCAAGGACGUCAAGAUACUUGUAGUACAAGUCAAGGAGCGGCUCGGAUAUUGUGGACACGUAUUGUAGUCCGACACAGAUCACCCUCCAUGUAACAACCGAGUAGAUAGAUUUAAACCGACUAUAACCCUAGGUUGCAAGCCUAUAUAAUGCGGCCAAGGGUGCCACCCGUGGGCAACUCAGAACCCAACACAUCAACUCUCGAGCAAUACAAACCACCAACAUACAGGACGUAGGGUAUUACUCUUCGGAGGUCUGAACCUGUCUAAAAUUCUCGUGUCCCUCGUGUUCUUGCGAUCACUUUUGAGUUCUUAGUUUCGCAAUCCCCUCUACCUACAAAUCAACCACUUGGGUAACCCCCUAGUGGACUGCCGGGAUACUAAAUCCGAUAAUUGGCGCGCUAGGUAUGGGUUAUUGUAAGAUCCACCCCAGCGAGCUCGAUGGCAUCCCGCCCUAGCGUCGUCUUCCUCGAGAGCAUGAAGGACUUCCUCGCCAAACCGAUCUAGCUCCACUUCGGGAGCAUGAUGGUGGGCUUUGACUCCACUACCUCCUCCAUCGACUCGGCGUCCGCCGCUAGCUCAGCAUCCGUCGGAUCUGCUUCGACGGAGCAAAACCUCCACUCGAGGAUCAUCACGCCGCUUGCCCAGUAGGUCAGCGAUCUCUCUUUCUCUCUCUCUAAGAGGAUUCCGAAAAUCCUAGCUGUGACCCGCCCACCCACGCGUUCCGACCUGAUCGCGGGGCUAGAUCACAUCAGCAACACUAUUGCUGAGUGCAUAGAUCUCUCUAAGGUGGCGCUACACUGAACCAGGUCGGCGUAGGGUCCUUCCCUCGCCCCCUUUGGUCUGAGGAACUCGGCUACUGCGAUUUCCGUGAAACACGCGCAGUCCCUUCAGAUCCAAUCUUGGCAUCAGCAACACCCACGCCCUCCGAGUUGAUCGCAGGGCUAAAUCACAUCAGCAAUACUAUUGCUUAGUGUAUAGAUCUCUCUGGGGUCACCACAAAGUCACCAAGUGGAUUGAGGUCAAGGCUGUCACCAGCAUCGAGUUGGCUAAAGCCACUCAGUUCGUGGAGGAAAUCACACACCGCUUUGGAGUGUCAAAUAGGAUCAUCACCGACAUUGGCAAGCAGUUCACAGGCUCCGAGUUCUGGGACUUUUGCCAGGACAACCUUAUUGAUGUGUACUACUCCUCAGUAGCACACCCACGCUGCAACGGACACGUCGAACAUGUGAACGGAUGGUCUUCCAGUCCCUCAAGUCGCGCAUUUUUGAUGACGCGUCUAAGUACGCCACCAAGUGGCUACGCGAGCUACCCCAUAUCAUCUGGGGCCUACGAACUCAGAAUAGCCGGGCUACCGGCUAUACCCUUUUCUUCAUGGUGUAUGGCUCAGAGGCCAUCCUGCCAUCCGACGUGGCCUUCGGCGCCCCACGCAUCUAGUACUAUGAGGAAGGCAAGGCAGAAACAAGUUGGCGGGUUGACGUCGAUAGCCUUGAGGAGCAUCGAGUGGUGGCUCUCAUCUAGCAUGCACGCUAUGAGUAGCAGGUACGAUGCUACCAUGAUUGGAAUGUCAGGGAACGCUCCUUCAACGUUGACGGUUUGAUGCUUCGCCGGAUCCAGUCCACUAAGGACAUGCACAUGCUGGCCGCCCCUUGGGAGGGACCUUUCAUUGUUAAAGAGGUCAUCCAGCCAGGCACCUAGCGACUCCAAUGGGCGGACGGCUCAGGCGUCCCUAACCCGUGGAACAUCGAGCACCUACAGCGCUUCUAUUCUUAGGAUUUAAAAGCUAUGUAGUCUAUUUUCCCCUUUUUUAUUGAAUGAAUAAAACCUCCGAGGUUCUUUGCGUACCUACUGCCUUACUGUUCCUUUGCCCAAGCUAUUUCUGAUGCUUGGGGGCUGUCCGACCUGUUCGACAGACCACUCGCUCUCAAGCUCGGGGGCUUCCCCCAGGUGCGAACGUCCGGGUCUUGCAUCCUUCUCCACCCCCUCUCGAGGCAAUACGACUAACUCGUGUGGUUGGCGUUCUAGCUCGCGAAACCUAGACAACCUUGCGUUCACCCCUCCCACAAGCUUGAGAUCCGCUCUCAGCUGGACGCUGGUCAGGCAAGGCUAGGCGCUUAUUAGCUACAAGCCUCAGCUACACGUUGUCCUAUCGUAUACACCAAGGAAGGGAUGGAGAUCCUUUCUCCUUGCAUACGCAAGUCAAUUACAUCACAUGUUUUAUCAUACAGAUUGAUACACCACAAAAUUUUAUCUUACAGUUUUAGAUCGUUGACAAUGUUUUCCGCUACAUCAUAAUACUGGUCGGCCAGUUCUGGAAGCGCCUCUGCAUCGAAGUUGGCUGCAACCCCUCCUCCAGCAUGUUCCAAGGGGACCCGCGGGAAGUGUGUCUUCAGCACUACCAAGACAUUUUUGACACACUUCUCCGCGGUGUCCUUCAGCAGCUCCUCAGCCAACCAGGUGCGACCUUGAGGUGAUCGAAUAGCAGCGUUGGCGUGGUUGGGUCGAUCUCUGGUUGGACCAUGUCCAUCACAUAGCCAGCCGUCUUAGGAAGAUCCUCUAGCUCCACCUCCAACCCUGCAAUUACUAGUUGGUCAUGCUGAAGACUACAUAUUGCAGCCUCUAAGCAGCGCUCAGUAUCUUUGCGUUCAUUGGCUUCAUAAGUUAGCUUCUGCGAUACGGCAUACUCAUGAUGAACCGCCACAUCAUGUUCUUGCUAAAGGUGUGCAUUUGAGUCCUCCUACUCUUUGAGGUGCCACUUGAGCCUUUGCUCCCUGAACUCAGCAUCUGCUCAUUCAAAUAAGUAUAUAUCAGCACCAAGAUUACAAGAACAAAACCGAGUUAACAGGUUGGGGUCGGGCAGUGGUUAGGGGAGAAGAGCUGGGUGGAGGCUCACUAGCCAGCGAUGCUGGUUGGUGAGCGGGAUGCGGAGCGUGUAGAGAUCUUCAGGCCAUUGGCCUAGCAGGAUUUUGAGCAUGGAAGAGCGUCUUUGCCUUACGUACACAUAGGCCAGCGGAGGGAGCCUGACUCGUCUUGUCUCACCGGCAGUUGGGCGGAGCGUGGGAGCCGGUAGGCGGAGUCGGUGUGGCAUGCUCCGGUGGGGUGUGGCGGCGUGCGUAUUGGCGAGCGGGGAUGGUGUGCAGGGGGUGGAUUUGUGCUCGGCGCGUGAGUGGGCAGCUUGGGGCUCCGUUGGGUCUUGUCAAUGCUGGCGGUUGGGCAAGGCGUGGACACCGAUGUGGCGGCGCCAUGCGGUGCUCUACGAGAUUGCCCGAUCUGGGUGCACAUGCAGUGCAAGGGGGCUAGGUUUGAGGCAUUUUUGCGCGAAAUUUUCAAUUCAAAUUUUGCCAACUCCAAAUAUAAAACUUUCAUUUUAAACUAUACUCUACAAAUCCUAGAAAGAUAUUAGGUACAAAUUUGUGCUAAUUUGGAAGUUAUUUGAUGCCAAAAUUCUUGGGAACGCCGGCUUUGAGGACUUAGCAGUUCUUUCGAUUUCAGGCAGAUUUUGGGUAUUUAGCCGACUUUGGAUCCAGUUUUGAAAUGGUUUGGCUCUGAUUUGGACCAAGAUCACAAGGUAAAAGUUGUAGUAUACAUUUAAUAAUCAAACUUUUGUAAAAGGUUCAGCUCAAGUUCAGUUUUGAAUUUGGGAGAAAUUUACAUGCCAAGUGGAAGACUUUCCCUGUUUUAGACUUAGAGCUGAGGGGCUGAAUUUGAAUUUGGUGCUAACUUUAGCCUAGAGUUUGAACAGGUUCUAUGGUGAAUUAGUUCAAUAUCUAAUUGACAAACUUGUUCUUCAAAGUACACUCUACAACUUUUGUAAAAUCUCCAACUUAAGAUCAGGUCUAGAAAUUUAAUAUAAAAGAAGCUAAAGUACUCUAAUCAGCUGUAUUUUCAGGACUUAGUGAUUUUGAGUAUGAGUUGAAUUGCUACUGAAUUUAAAUUUAGUCUUUGAACCUCUUCCACUUCAAAUCAGCAAAAGAGCAAAUAAGAAAACUUGUUUGUCUUGCAAGGUUCUACAACUCUUAUAUUGACAAAAAUUGAAAUUGUUGUAUAAAAUCUCAAGUUAUGAAUUGCUCCUAAAUUUAGCUUUUAAGGGGCAUUUUUGACCUUUCAAGUGCUAAUUAAGCUUCUAAUCACUCUAUUCAAGCUUAAGCAAGGUUAAUUAAUACUAGGGUUGUUACAUAUGGGUAUUCCAUGAAUCCCCACCGAUUAGGAUACUGGCCGGUCCUAAUAAGUGGGCCCGCCCGACCAGGCCGUGUGGGCUAAGGAUGUCAAGAUCCUUGGAGUACAAGUCAAAGAGGCCGGACGAUUCAAAUUGUACGGGAUAUUGCGGAUACGUAUUGUAGUCCAACUCAAAUUACUUUCCAUAUAAUAACCGAGUAGAUUAGAUUUAAACCGACUUGUCAAUCUAGGUCGUUAGCCUAUAUAAGGCGGCCAAGGGCGCCACCCGAGGGCAACCCAGAACCCAACACAUCAACUCUCAAGCAAUACAAACCACCAACAUACACAACGUAGGGUAUUACUCUCCGAAGGCCUGAACAUGUCUAAAAUCCUCGUGUCCCUCGUGUUCUUGCGAUCACCUUUGAGUUCUUGGUUUCGCAAUCCCCUUCACCUACAAAUCAACCACUUAGGUCGGGCUACUAAAUUUGACAAUAUUUUUAGAAAAUGUUGAAUAAGUUGUUUGUAAAUGUUGGUGUAAUUUUGAAAUAAUGUUGAAUCUGGCAUGUUAAAAUAUUGAAUUAAGAUUCUAAUUUGGAACUAAUGGGCUUUCAAGUUAGCAUGCUUAUCGGGCUUGUGGAAGCUAUAUAGCUGCCCCCAUGGUAAUUCGCCUGAUUGCCGCAGUGCCAGCGGAGAUAAUCAGCCAGGAAUUUGUCAUAUCGUGAUGGAGAUAUGGUAACCAUCCCAUAAUAAAAUCAAGCAAAUCCAGAGUGAAGGAGAGAUCAGUUUUGUUCCUUCAGAAUAAUAACCGUGACCCAAGAAAUUAAUCGAUUAGGAAAAAAAAAAUGCCCAUUGACAAGAUGAAGGAUAAGUUCUUGGACCGAAUAGCUAAAUGAAAGAAUCAACAAACGACCGAUCUUCAGACUUCAGAUCAACUUUUUCCCUCGAAGUACAUGACAAUAAUUUUAAAAUGCUUAAUUCAAAGUCCAAAUUCCAAAAAAUACACUAAUAAUCCAACAAAAAGUUUCUUCUAAACGACAAAUAUAUUCAUAAAAUUCUAAACAACUGAUCUUUCUACUACAAUAGCACGUGUACCUACGGUAUAGUUUCUGUGAUUUUCUACGGGAAAUGUGUUUUGUUGUGCUUGUAGAAAUAUUUAUCCAUUCUUCAUAGUUAUUUUCUCAAAUAUCACUUAUAAUAUCACUGUAAUUGCUAUUUCAAACUCUUGAAUAUUAUACACGAGAUGUAUUGUUGUGCCUGCGGGCAACAUGCCGGGUUAUGGCUAGUUUUUAUAUUACUCUCAGCCCGCUUCCUAACUCCCUCGGAUAUGCUCGUGGCAAUUUUUUUUAUCCUUGCCACAGCAAACUAUGGAUUAUAAAGAUUUAUUUCAACGUUUAAAGAGAUGUUUUUAAAUUUUCGUUUGGAUAAUUAGUUAAGGAAAUAGUUUGUGAGCCAUAUUAAAUGGACUUUCAUAUCUCUGGUGCCUUAAGUAUGUGAAUAUUAUCUGUACUCCAACAAGCAAGAUACGGUUAGCUAGUAAGUGGUUGAUCUAUGUUAUCACUUAUCUGGUUAUCCUACAUGGAGGGGGGGAAAAGGAUGAUAGAUAAGAUUGCUAGCUACUAAUUAGUAGUCAAUCUUGAACGGUUAUUAUACAAACUUGACAAACUUGAUGAGGGUGCGCGCUUAGGUACAUCAGGUAUCUAAUUGAUGACUGAAAAUGAACAUCGUCAACUUAAAGAAAUUGUAGGAUAAGCAACGGCUUUUUCAGAAAACAAUGGCUAACACAUAACCUGCUUACAUGGUAUUUGUUCGUCUAUGUGUCAUCUCAGCAACCCAUCUCCACCCAUGUGCCAAGUUGUUAAACCUAAGAUAAACGAUUACACAAAUGAUGUACCUAAAUAUACACUCUUGCCAAGUUUAUGUACUAAUGAUAUAUUUAACUCUUUUAUUAUUUCAAUUACAUUUUAUCCGUAUUAAAAUGGAAGGGUUGUGGCAGAACCACCCAAAUUAACCCAGCUAAAGUGUUCUCAACGUCGCCUCAUAUGCGAACCACACUUUAAUCAACUCAAUUUGGCAGUCCGUCAGGUUAUACCCGAUAAACCUCGGAUCGAAUGAAAAGCAUCUCAUACGAAGGCGAGUCCAGAGAUUACAACAUUCCAGUACUUAAAGCAUAGAUCCGAAUUAAGUUAUUACACAUCCAUUGCUCAAAAAUUCAUAAGUAAAAUGUUCAGAGUUUCAAAGCAGUGGAAAAAUGAUAACAACUACACGUCGAUACAAAAUAUCACGACGAAGCCAACCAUGAUAUCAAUAACCGCGAUCCUCGCCGUCCGAGGAUGGGUUCCACUCGACCGUCCAACAUGAAGGGAGCUAGGUCGGCCAAGUCAAGAUAGCAGCACAAUCAUCAACAUCUAUCAUAUUACUUGAAAAAUAUAAGACACAAGCAAGGCUGAGUAUACUAAUACUCAGCAAGACUUAACUGUCAGGUGAUAACUACUCCACCAACUUCUAGACAUGCAAGGCUUUUUGGCUGAGGGGUUUGUUUGCCAAAAGCAUCAAAAGUGGGUCCUUACUUUCAAGUUUUAGCAUCAGGUUCUAGUUAAUUAUCCAUUCUAGAUAAGCAUCUAUUCAAAGCAAACAUGUGAUCAAGCAAUUUAAUUCAAGCAUCAGUAUUAUUCAUCACCAUUUGUUCCUCUUCUUACUCAGUGUAGAAGUGCAGUGAAGUAGUCUCAAACUAUGAGCGGCAAAUGAUUCGAAUCGAGUUUUUAACCUUGCAAGGUUAACUUAACCCCAUGAUAUAUGCUAAUGUCGCGCCGGGUUCACAUAUCUCAGUCGUCCCCAUCAAUUGGUGGCAUUUGUCCAGAGCCCACUUCCCUUGGCAUACAAUGCCCCAACGGUCCCAGAACGAUGUCGUACCGAGGCUGCACUUGUACCCACAUGAGGUCUCAUGGGAACUCGGUUCCAGAGAGAGUGGGGUAAAGGUCCAUGCCGGUUCAAUCAGGUAUUAGGUUUCCCUAUCCCAUACUAUGUAUGAGAUUAGUACUUUCAAACACUUGAUCAUUGUUCUAACACAUCUCGACCUUAGUAGUUUUUCACUAGACAGACGGGGCAAUCCAACAUCCACCAAAACAGAACAUAUAGCCCAGCCCCGCCCGUCAACCCUUAUGGUUGCAACAUAUUUAAUCAAGCAAAUCCUAUAGCUCGCGAGUGAAAGAAAAAAUCACUCGAUUUUUACUGUGUCCCUAUUUAGAGUUGCAACUACUCAUCUUAACAUACUAGUAUUCAGCACAUAGGUACCUAGGAUUAUGCAACUAGGGUUUCAAGCAACUCCUAUGAACGUAAAUGCACAAACAUAUGUAACAUAGAUAUUGCAUGAAUUUAGAAAAUUGGGUUAUGCUUUGGGGCUUGCCUUCCUGGACUAGGUUAGUAACCAGGUUGUUGGAACCUUUGGGAAUCUCCUGCUCGGCCUCGACAUGAUGCAGCUCGACAGGUACUUCCUCGGUUGGUUAGGAGCAGUUCGUAUGUUCUGUCUACGACAUUCGCUUCUACACGAGAUGCAUAUGCAUUAGUUCAAGUUUCCAUGCUUUCACAUGCAGGAUGCAAAACAUGAAUUAUUGCUGAAGUUUAAAUUUACAUUUUAACCACACUCAUCUAAACAAGGUUCUAAACUUUCAUUAUCUUCAUGCAGUAAGGUGUGCUGUGAUAUAAAAUCCGGGGUUGAUUUUGAUUGUGAUUGUGUACACAUAUAAGGUUUUACAACUUAGACUUCACAAAGAAAGGUGGGGGUCACUCUAGGGUUUCUUAAGGUUCAAUUGGAAAGUUAUCAUGUUCCUGAAUGUUUUUCUGUACCUUAGUGCAUUUACCAUUUUGCCCUUCUCAUUAACUAAUUGUUUUUAUUCCUUUUUCUUGGUUUAACUUCCAUAAAUGUUUCUGGUAACUUCUGACAAGAUAUAGUUCUGAAAAUUUUACAGAGGCUUCCUAAUCACAUUAGUGAGCCACUGUAAAGUUUUGGGAUGCAUUGAACUUCUACAAAAUUAAUUAAAAACAAAACAAUACCCUAUGGCAGAUUAUAGGGAUCUAUUUUUAACUGAAGUUCUAGUAGCAGUUUGGCUCUGAUAUUUUUUACAGGAGGUUACACUAGUGUGCCAAAGGCUUCUAUGAUUUUUCCAUGAUUUUUGGUGAAGGACAUCUAUUUUUCAUAUUUUUCCUUCAUUUAAACUUGUACAAAAAUUUAAGUAUGUUUCAUCAAGUUUCAUACAGUGAAUAAUAUUUUUCCUAGCAAGUAUGUUUCAUAAGUGAUCUAACCCAGGUGGUUUCAUAUUUUUUUCUGACAGAUUCCAUUACUUAUACAAAAAGAAAGAUUUUUCACUAGAUUUCAAGGAUAAAUCUAAAACAGUGACAUAAACAUCUAUACUAGGGUCCAAAGUAUUUUUCUAAGCACAAGUUGGCUGAAACAAAGCUAACAAAAGUGGUUUUGGUAUUUUACCUUUUUUUGUAAUUUAUUAUGCAUUUAAUGGCUUAAACAUGAAAUAAAAACUAGAGCAAUAUACAACAGUGACAUGAGCAAAAGUAUUUUUCUGUCAAACUACUCCUCUUAAAGAUUCUAACAAAAGUGGUUUGACAUUUUUCUGAUGUUUCUACAAUUAGUUAUGUAUUUUAAAAGUUCAGCUCAUUUCAUCCAUAUUUUAAACAGAAAAGGCGCUGGCAGUUUUACUCGGCCCCCCUACAGGUUUUAAACAUUCAUGAACACGUCCCUGAAUCUUACGCGCAGGCUCCUGGAAAACCUCAAAUCGGUGAAAAAGGGUCCUCGCGGCGGCCUGGGUUACUACGGUAAAAUCCCGACGAACUACUGCACAAUAGGAGAAACCAAGGGCUCGUGUGCGUGGGUGUGCUCACCUUGAGCGGGUCCGCUGAAGGAAGGGGUGUCGGAGAGGGCUUGACGGUGGCGGACUAUGACGGACUUGCGGGCGGCGGCGAGAUUUUUCUUUUCCGACACUGGCAGCGGUUUUGGCGGUCGAGGAGUGGCUCGGGAAGCUUGGCCGGGGCACGUGUGGCUCACUAGUGGGCUUGGGAGGCGGCGGUGCUGCUUGGGAGGGAGUGCUCCACGGUGGACUGCUCUGCUUAGCGGCGGCGAAGGGGGAGGAUGGCGGAGCGGUCGCCGGUGAGGCAAUAAGUGCCUUUAUAGGCCCGGGGCGUGAGGGGGGAGCAUGAGGUGAAGCUGUGGGGCGAAGGAAUAUCGUCGGGCAGCGAGUGGGGAGCAUCAGCGGGGCAUGACAUUGGCUAGCGGCGUGGGUUGGCUGGAGGCAGCGUGCGGGCGCGGAAGAAGAUUGCUAGUGCAUUGGCAGAGAAAAAUUUGAUUCCUUCUGUCCCGUGCGCUCGUUGGCCAGUAGAGGGAGUCAUUUCGUCCCAUCAGUGCGGCGAGAGGCAGAGGGGGCUCGGCCAUUGGCCGGCGGCGACGCGUCACACGUGGUGUGCGCGGAUGCCGAGAAGCGGCGCACCCAUUGGCGAGCGGAGAUGGCGUGCAGAGGGGCGAGAUGGCUUCAUGCGCUUACUGGCGAGCUCGGUGUGUUGUCUCAUCAUGUCGCGAUGGUGGUUGGGUGCGGAGCUAUGCCGGUGUGGCAGCGCCACGUGGCGAACGAUGACGGGAGCAACGCGGUGAGCGCGCACCGGGCGUCGAAGUGGAACGCAACGUCGCGCGAAGGGGCUGAGUUCGAGCGAGUUUUUCUCAAAAAUUUUUAAAUAAAGUUGAAAAUAUCCAAAACUAAAAAUGGUAGUCCUGACUUCAAACUUAAAAUCCUGGAAAACCCAUAUCUGCCAAAUCGUGCCCAAACGGAAGUUACACGAGUUCAAAAUACCCUGGAACGCAGAUCUUACAGACUUAGCAUAAAUUUGAAUUAAGGCUGUUUUGAACAUUUUAGCUGACUUUGCCUCAGGUUCUGAAAUGGUUCGGCUUGGACUUUGGCCAAGGUCAAAUGGUUGAAGUUGUAGUAAAUACUUAGGACUCAAACUUUUAUAAAGGAUUUAGCUCGAGUUCAGUUUAAAAUGUGUGAGAAAACUCCAUGCCAAGUUGAAGACUUUCACUGGUUUAGACUUGGAGCUUUCUGUGCUGUUUUUGAAAUUGUUGCUGACUUUAGCCUAGAGUUGGAGAAGUUUCCAGGGUGAUUUAGUCCCGGCUCAUAUUUCCAAACUUGUUUUUGAAUGUUUACUCUAAAACUUUUGUAAAAGCUCCAACUCAAGACCAGGUCUAGAAUUGGAAAUAACAGAAGUUAAAAUACUCUACUCAGCUAUAUUUUCAGGACUUGGUGUUUUUGAGUUUGAGUUGAUUUGCCUCUGAAUUUAAAUCUAGCUUUUUAACCUCUUCCUCUUCAAACUAGCAAAAUCUCAAAUAAGCAAAGUUGUUUGUUUUGAAAAGUUUUACCACUCUUAUAUUGGUAAAAAUUGAAGUUGUGAUAUAAAGUUUUAAAAAAAUUAUGAAUCGCCUCCAAAUUACGCUUUUAAAGGGUAUUUUGGUCCUUUUUAGUGCUAGAUGAACUUCUAAACUUUCUACUUAAGCUUAGACAAGGUUAAUUUAAGAUUAGGGUUGUUACAAGGUAUUGAUCCUAUUUUAGCACUGCUAAUAAAUUAUAAAAAGGUAAAAGUUGCUUUUCUACUAUCUUCCUGCAGCAGCCACUUGGUGGAAAAAGCUUGAGCCCAAAAAAAUCUCACUAUUUGAUUGACUAACUUCCUUGACCUUAUUGUCACAUGCAUCUCUAUUGCCGCUGCUUGCCGCACUUCAUUUUGCUGUUGGACAUUGUUCACUGUUGAUGUUUGCCAAUAGACACUGCUCAAAGUUGGCCUUUGCUGCUGGACACCGUUCAGUUGUAGAUAAUAUUUGCUCUUAGACACUGUAGCUAUUAUAAUAAUAAUUUUCUAGAUUAGAAGGAGAGAUAAAUCCUAAAUGAUCAAACUAUCCCUGCCCCACCCGAGCGGAAUAAACAUUGCCGCACCCCCACCCGAUCCACUGCGACGACGAAGGAUGAAACCGCUUGACGCCCCCGCUCACCCUGGGCCACCCUCACCCAUGCGCUGGCCCCAGCUCGCCCGCCAUUCUACCUCAGAGCUGGGGGCGGAUCCAACAUAGGUGGGGCGGGGGGGGGGGGUUCGCUUGUGGGCUGGAGCUCCUGCUCUGGCAACCUGCUCGAGUACCUUUCGCUUCCCCUGCCUCCCGCCUCCUGUACGGAUCCUGCUCUAUGGCUUCCCCUGCCUCCCGUCUCUUGUACGGAUCCUGCUCUAUGCUCUAGCAGUAGGCAGCUCCUUCUCUGAUGCCACCACCAACAGCACAAACAAGCUUGCCGUUCCAGCUGUAGGCAUCAGCGAACAUCGUGUCGCCACGGCCACCGUCGUCCCUUGCGCCCGACAAUGAUGAAUCACGAAUCAAUCUGGAUGGCUAGUGUUUGUGUGGAUUACUUAAUUUGGAUGGCUUUUUAGACCACCGUGUGGCCAAAGAUUGAUUUAUUUUCCGUGAGGAUUUAUUUAAUUUAUUCUCCGAUCCAACGACAAAGUGAGCUCCAGCUGUUUCAUUGCAAGCUGUCGUCACUCAUCAGGGUUGGGCUAGGGACAUAAUGGUCAUUUCAAUUUUAUCUCUCACCUCUACACUAGGAAAUUAUUAUUUUAAUAGACAUGGUGUUUAUGAGGAAAUAGCCACCAUUCAAGAGUGUCUACUAGCAAAUACAAAUUUUAGUAGUGUACUUCAACCAAAACCAACAUCAAAUGGUCUCCUCUAGCAAAAUUUGAGUAGUGUCCUUUAGCAAAAACCAACAUUGAAUGGUGUCCUUGACCCGAUUGUCACAUCUCUGUCGCCGCUGCUUGCCGCACUUUUUUUUAUUGUUAUAGGCAGUCGGGCAUCAAUUCUUACGGCACAUUAUUGAUUUGGGGCUGCGUCUCAUUGAUCCAUACGGUAGGGCAUUGAUUGGGGGCAGCCGAACAUUAAUCCGUGCUAUGCAUCAUCAUCUUCAUGCUACAAAACCUUGAUCCGUGCGAUCUAGCAUUGAUUUGAGGCAGCAGCUCCUUAGUUAAGGGGGUAGGAGGGCUUGGGGUGGAGGGCGGUGGUUGGCGGGGACAUCUGAAAGAUUGAAACGGAAUGAUCUUUGGACGGAGAGAACACGUGGAGGUGGAUAAGCGUGUUAUGGGCUGAUGGGUGGGGGGUGGGGGGGGGGGGGAGGGUGGGGGGAGGGCUCCAGCCCAAUGAUGGAUCCACCCCUAAGUAUAGAGUCAGAGUUAUGUCCAAGAUAAGAGGAGAAUCCACUUCCUGGAUAAUAAAAUUUAAAAUUAUUUUGUGACUUUCUAGUACAAUACUGUAGAAGAAUAGAGCAAAAGAAUCGCACAUAUCUUUUCACAUCCCGAUAUGAUAAGACUAUAGGAAGACCUAUCAUAUGUUGGAAGAUGACGAGAAACCCAUCUUCCUGCAAGAGCACUAGGAAAUCAUUGGCCAUCAAUGCAAGAUAUAUAAUAAAGUGAUCCCACCAAACUUGAAAGUCAGUGACAGGGGCACAUGGGAGUAAAUGACUCUAUUUAUGACAGCUAAAGAGUAGAGGUAGGGCCUGUUUGGUUAUGGAUGCUUAUUUAUAAGUUGCUUAUUUGCUUAUUGUAGUUGCUUAUUUAUAAGUCUUAGGUGUUUGGUUUGGGUUGCUUAUUUGCAAUAAAUGAGACUGCUAUUGACACAUUUACCCCUGCCAUCCCCAUUUCCCACUACCCCUAGUCAAUACCCGGGUCCUGGAGCGGCGGGUCCUUGGCGCGGAGGAGGGGGGCGGAGGCGGCGGCGGGCGGCGGGCCGGGAGCGGUGGGGCGCGGAGGCGGGCGGCGGGGCGCGGCGGGGGAGCGCGGAGGCGGGGGGCGGAGGCGGCGGCGCGGAGGCGGGCCGGGAGCAGCGGGGGACGGACCCCGAACCCAACCCAGGCAUGGCCGACGACCACCACCCCCUCGCCGCCGCGGCCUCCUCCUCCGCCAGCGACGACGACGAGGGUACGGAGACGCGUCCAACUCCGACCUCGCCAACCACCGGGACCCUCCGUCCCUCACCGACGCGACCUCGGCCCCGCCUACCCCUCCCGCCGCCGCCGCCUCCGCCCCCGAGCCCACCGGCGCGAUUCCGCCGCCGCCGCCGCCUCAGCCGCAGAGCGCGGGUGCCGCAGAGGACUCACGGCGGCUGUUCCAGCGGCUGUGGACGGACGAGGAGGAGCUCCUCAUCCUGCGCGGCUUCCUGGACUUCACGGCGCGCCUCAAGAAGAAGUACCGCGUCUGCGCGGCGCGUGUGGCGGCGCAGGGCGCCGCGUUCGCGUUCCGGAGCGCGCACGAGGGCGCCAUCUACGAUGUCGCGCGCCACAUCUGGCGCCCCGCGUUCAAGCGCGGAGGCAGGCGGGCGGCGGGCGCGAGCGGCGGCGGCGGGCGGGAGGGGCGGCGGCGGGCGGCGGGCGGGAGGGGCGGCGGCGGGCGGCGGGCGGGAGCGGCGGCGGGCGCGAGCGGUGGCGGCGGGCGGCGGCGGGGAGGGACCGGCGGGCGGGGUGGGAGCGCCGGGCCGGGGGAGAGAAGGAGAGAGAGAAGGGGAUCUGGGGAAAGGAGAAAAGUGGGAGGAGAGAGAGAAAAGUGGGAAGGGUAGGGGGGUAAAGAGUACCCCAUAAGCAAAAUAAGCAGCUCCAAACUUGCUUAUUUGCUUAUGCAUAAGCAACUUAUAAGCAACUCUAUAAGCAAGGGUGUUUGGGUUAUAAGCAACUUAUUUGCUUAUUUAUAAGUUGCUUAUUUAUAAGCAAUGCUAACCAAACAGGCCCGUAGUAUGUUGGUGUUGUGCCUGAUUAUUGUUUCUUUUGCGAUGAUUUUCAUUAUUUCAGAGUCCUGGCUCUGCUCCUGGUUGAGCAUCCAAAAAGGGCCAGAAGAUGCUCAUAAGAAGAGGAGCGAGACAAGAUAGAGCGAGAGAACCAAACUUGAGGACCAAAUUUGGCUGACGCACAAACCCUCAUGAAACUUGGUAAAGGCCGUCCGCUGUGGAUACCAGAGACCGUUAUUAGGGCGCAACUAGUCUAUAUCCUCAUUUCUCCAGCGACUUUAGCUUUAUGUUUUCUUUGUUAACCUUUGUAGAAAGUUGUGACAGCGAGACUAUCUAGUGACGGCCAUAUGGAUGACCUUUGGUUGCAGUUUUACGUGGCGUUUGGUUCCUCGAGCUAAAGUUUAAUCCAUGUCACAACGAAUAUUCGGAGGCUAAUUAGAAGGAGUAAAUAUGAGUUAAUUAUAAAACAAAUUGCACAGAUGGAGGCUAAACGGCGAGACGAAUCUAUUAAGCCUAGUUAAUCCAUCAUUUGCAAAUGUUUACUAUAGCAGCACAUUGUCAAAUCAUGGACUAAUUAGGCUUAAUAGAUUUGUCUUGCCGUUUAGCCUUCAUCUGUGUAAUGGGUUUUGUAAAUAGUUUAUAUUUAAUACUUCUAAUUAGUAUCUAACCAUUCAAUGUGACAGAUGCUAAAAAUAAGCAGCUUGAACCAAAUACCCCCUUAGUAUGGAACGAACAUACCACUGUGUACCAUAAAGAUGACGUCUCCUGUAAUAACAGUGCUAAAAUUCCCUACGGUGCUAAGGAUCCAUGUACGAGGUAUGGCCUCUUACUUUCAUAUAUAUCCAAUAUCCUCUAACUAAAUUCUCUCACUGCGGGAAACAGUAAGUUUGCCGAGUGCCUCAGGCACUCGGCGAAAGCCUAAAAAUACUCGGCAAAGUGUUUGCUGAAUGUAACACUGUUACAUUCGGCGAAAAGGACUCGGCGAAUUUUUCCUCGGCAAUUGUCGGGCACUUGGCAAAGACUUUGCCGAGUUUCAAAAACCACUCGGCAAAACAAAACACUCAGCAAAAAGGUGUUGACGGAAUAUCACAGUAACGGAGUUGUUGCCGAGUGUCAGACGGAAGAACACUGGGCAAAGAUUUAUAUGUUGCCGAGUGCCUCCUCCCUGACACUCAGCGAAGAUUUCCAUGUUGCCGAGUGCCGUCUACUCGAUACUCGGUGAAGAUUUAUAUUUUGCCGAGUGCCAUACUCAUGACACCUGGUGAACUUUUAUACUUUGGCGAGUGUCGUGGGCAUGGCACUCGGCAAAGAAGCCAGUACCGCCAGCAUUUUAUGGCACCUUUGCCGAGUGUUGUAACGAAAACACUCGGCAAAGUAGUCCCAGAAUAACAGAAAUUAGCCUCUUUGCCGAGUGUUAAGUGUCCUUCCUCCACCUGCAAAACAGAUUUGUUACAUAUAAAGGACCCCUCUCAAAUAACAACCACAGAAGCAUCACAGGCAUAUAAAUUGCAUCACGGGCAUAUAGAUUGCAUCACAAGCAUCACAAGCAUACAAAUAACAUUCACAAGUACAUAUAGGUUCUAGUCUAAAUAAGUAAUUCACAAGUUUGCUUAACACCUAGCUGUUCAAACAAGUCACUGAGAAGGAUGUGUAGGUGGCCACUGCGACCAAGAUGAUGGCUCCGAGAAAGCAUUGGAUGUCGCCGAUUGAUUCUGCACAAAGUUAAAGAGAUUGCAUUAGUCACUUUUCUAUUGUAAGUUUAUAGUGCCUGUACUUUCUAGUUUAAUUAUAGAUUGAUUGUAAGGUUGAGAAGUGACUCACAGGAGUAGCUUCAGGAGGUGAAGGUGGAGAGAAUAGGUUCGAUGGCAUAGGUGGUGGAGUUUGACCUAAACUCUGAAAAAUACUCUACAUGUACUGGAACAUCGACUCCGUCCUCUGCCUUUCUAUUCGCCGAUCCACCUCGAUCCUCGCCUCUAGGUCCUCCCAUCGCUUCCAUUCUACUUCCACCUGGACCUACAAUAUUUCAUCCCAAUAUCUUAUUGCAAAGCAAAAGGUACGUAAAAAUCAACAAAAGAUGAAACAAACAGAAAUAACCUGCAAAGCCUCCAUUUGUAACUGUGUAGUGGUCAGCUGUGCCUAUAUCGCGGGGCUCGAGUCUGUGCUCCUUGCUCGGAUCUGGGAGAGACUAGGAGUACUGGCAGUGUAUAUCACGCUAUCGCCAAUCCAAUACCGGCCAUGCUUCUUGCCUCCUCCCACCCUCAUCACAAUUUCUGCAUCAGUAUCCUGGGAGCUCGGAUCAAACUCUUGCCCAUGAACCUCCCUUGCCAUUGCCGUGUACUCGGUGAUGCGGUUGUGGAUGCUUGGAUGGCUGUACGCCUUAGGCGGGUCCUCCAGGUUGAAGUCGAUGUCGGCCGUCGCUUUGCUCUUUUUGGACAUCACCUAUGCCUUGAACCGGGAGCACUCCUAGCCAUCAUGUGACGACGUCUGCGGCAAAAAUGCAAAAUGAUUAGAAAUUAUGCAGAAUUGAGUAUUAGAAUAAAGAAAUGAAUUCACGUACCCAUUUUUCCUUGUAUUCAUCAAGGCUCAUACUGCCUUGAUGGUGUGAUGCAUAUGGCAUCUACAGACACCGCUCCCGGCAAGCAAGGUGGUUCUCCAACCACCCGGGCUGCAACCACACAUCCACCAUUUGUUCCCAGCACCGGGUAUGGGCUCAGCACCACCAUGGAGGCAACUACAUCAUCAAGUGAUUGACAUAUAACAAAAUAAAUUAAGUGUAAUUAAUCUCAGAAAAAGUAAGUAUUAAUGUUUCGUAUUUACCGCCAUGAAUUCUUCCUUGGUCAGGUUCAUUGUCCUUGCCUCUUCUUUUUUGACCUUCAUCCUUCUGAAUUCAGCAUAGAAGUCGAUGAUGGCCUGAACCCGCGCCUCGUAGUGCAUGUCCUUGAUGAGCUUCUUGGUGGCUUGUUCAGUGACAGAGGCUGCCCUGGCCUCAAAUCCCUCCCGGCAUCUAUAGAAGUCCUGUGUAUAGACAUGAUGCAUAUAGUUAUUAUUUCAAGAAUGUUCAGCGAAGGUGAUGUAUUAAGCAAUGUAGUGCUGGGAAUACUUACCCACAGCUCGGCCUUCACCCGCUCCGCCUUAUUGGCGAAUGUCCUAUGGUCACGAUCACCGACGUCGGCGAUGAUGACGUAGUGGUCCCACGUGUAGGCCGGCUCCUCCCUUACAGCGAAGACCACCAAGCCAAGGACUAGCCUGCACAAAAGACCAAGGAUGCCGUUGACCUUGAGGUUGUGGCUACGUUCACUGAGCUUAAUCCAACUCCUGCACAAGUGAUUAAUAUAAAGUAUUAAUUUCUAUUGUAAUUUUCAACAUAUCAAAUUAUUGAGAAUAUGUAAAGUAACUUACUUUGCCUCAGUGGGUUGAAUCGGUGGGCAUCUAUGAAGAGGUAUCGGUCGCCUCAGGAGGGAAGAGGGACCUCGCAACCAGAUCUUGGACUGCAAAUCCCCUGCCUCCUCACCUUCCUCCCUCUCCCUCUCCUGCUCCUGCACCUGCUCCUCUUGUACCUCCGCCUUGUCACUAGAGGUGUGCGCGGAAGGUAUCUCCUCCUCCUUAGACAACCGGGCCGAAGGUACAGGCGACGGGGGCCUCACCCCUUUCCCCUUGCUGGACCUAUGCCUCCUCCGUUUCCUCGACCAGUGCCUCACCCCUGCCUCCACCCCUGCCUCGACGCCUCCCUCGACCCCUCGAUGCAUCUGACCUUGUACCUGACCCUGAAGCUGCAGCUUUGAAUUUUUCGUAAAGCGCUGCGAUCUUCCUCGUACCGCCCACCAUUGUUCAAUCACUUGCAAUGAAAAAGAGUAAACCAAUCAGCAUAGAUAAACAAAACAUACUUAGGAAUACAUGCAAAAUAAACUAAACAUACUUAAAAAAUAACAUGGCAUGACAAAUAAUAAAUAAAUUAGUACGACCCAUACAUGUAUUAGAAAUAAUCAUCAUGAUCAGGAUUAGCUGGAUCAUAAGUCUCAUCAUCACUAUCACGUGUGUUAAUAAAAUCAUUCCCGUGCUCCGAAGGAGGAAUGUCAUCAUCAAUGUCCUGUCCUAACUGUAAUCGCUGAAGUAAUUCUAACUCCUUCAUAUUAUGAACCUCAUCUCCAGCGUCCUCGUCAGCAAGCCUUUCAUUGUCUACUUCCAUUCCGAUCACUACGGUUAAGUCAAUCUCAAAAAUCUCUUCGAGCCCAUCUUCUUGAAAGAACUCUCCGUUAUAUGUGUUGGGGUCAAUGUUGUAAUCUUCAUUGUUUGGUAUAGGUAGUUUAUCAUGUGGCGAUACCUUGUACACAACAUCCCAACCCUUAAGAUGGUCGUCGGUUUGGCACGGGUAUGACAAAUAAUAAAAUUGCAUGGUCUGUUGAGCCACAAUAUAGACAUCAUCUCCUGGUAAGACAGAUGAUUGCUGAAUUUCGACUAGCCCUAGAUUAGGGGCUUGUUUCAUGACUGAUGGAUCAAACCAAUAGCAUUUGAAUAUGACUGGAUUAAGAACUUUGCAACCAUGAAAAGUUAGUUUGCAUAUUUCUUCAAUUCUUCCGUAGUACUCGACCCCGUCAAAGCCUGGGGUAAAAACUCCGGUAAUUGUGGUUCUUCGAUUGGGCCUACUCUGCUCAUGGCUUGUUGUGUGAAAGCGAUAUCCAUUGAUGUCAUAACUGGUAAACGAUCUGACCCUAUAGGCACAGCCAUCGGCAACCUGUCUCAACUCGACAUUCAUAGACGCGUCGGUUUGGCCCUGCAAGUUCAAGCAGGGUGGUUCGUUAUAUUAUUCGCAUGUACGAGCAACUUGUAAUAUCAAACUAAGUAAGAGCUAAGUACGAGCUAAAUUGGACUGUACCUUAUGUUUGAACCAAGAAAUGAAAUCAAGCAUUCCAUUUCCCGCACCCUCUCUAAGAAGAGUCUCCACUUUGUGCGAGUAGGUUCCCUUGAAUUACGCCAGAAGUGACGAUGGAAUUCCCAGUACCAACGAGAAACAUGCGAGUUGGACGCAGAAUAGUGACUACUUGAGAACAAGUUUGUUGAGAACUUACAGUAUGUACGGCUCCACCUCGGAUAGGUUGGUCAACAUAUACAGCAUGAUAGUGCGCCACUCUUCAUGUUUCAAGGUCUUCUGUGUAGCACCACUUGCACUUCUGAGUUGUCCUCGAAAAAUGCUAAGGCUUGAUUCAGCUUCGCUGUCAUUAUAACGAGGGGGUGGAUUUUGCACACUAGGAAGGUUGUCAGCAUAGUAUUUUGUUGUGAAGUUUGACACCUCCUUCAGGAUGUAUGCCUCUGCAAUGGAUGCUUCAAUUUUGCAUUUAUUUUUACAUUUAGUUCGAAGAACCUUUUGACAUCUCUCAAUUGAAUAGCACCAACGGCCCUGCACAGGCCCCCCCCCAUUCGUGCUUCAUACGGGAGGUGCAGAAUCAUAUGCUGCAUCGAAUUGAAGAAGCCGGGUGGAAGAUCUUCUCCAACUUACAAAGCAAGACAGGCGCCAUUCUUUCCAUUUCUGCAACCACGGUAUAAGACAACUCCUUGGCACAAAGCUGAUGGAAGAAAUUGCUCAACUCCACUAGCACCUGCCAGACAUGCUCAGGGACAUAGCCUCGAACCAUAACCGAAAGUAGGCGCUCAAGCCAUAUGUGGUAAUCAUGACUUUUGAGCCGUUGAUUUGCAUAGUAGCUAAGUUCACUCCCCUCUUCAGAUUCGCUACAUACCCAUCAGGGAACAUUAACGUUUGGAACCAUUCUAGCACCUCCCUCCUUUGGGCCCUCGUUAGGACAAAAUCUGCCUUAGGCUUUCUUCACGACUUUUCGGCUCUAGGAGGCGCCAUGUCUAGCUUUGUUCUGUUGCAUAACCUUGCUUGAUCCACUCUAGCCUUCAUGUUAUCCUUUUCUUUGUCAGGAAUGUCCAUGAUUGUACCAAAAAUUGCCUCGGCGAUAUUCUUUUCAGUGUGCAUUACAUCAAUGUUAUGUGGGAGAAGAAGGUCAUCAAAAUAUGGAGGUUCCACAAGCACGACUUCUGAGUCCAAGCAUGUUGCUCGCCAUAUCUUUUAAAACCACCUUCUUGAUUAUUGACCUCAACAGCGUCUAACUGAGCACGAACUGUGGCUAAGGUCAUCAUCUGCAGUGCGGGGUCGUUAACUAUGACAUCUUUCAUAAAGUUUUUAAUGUCUCGUCUGAAUGGAUGGUCAGGAGGGAGGAAUUGUCGAUGUUUGUCGAAUGAAGAAUACUUGCCACCCUUCGUCAACCAAAUGAACUUCAAAAAAGCCUUGCAUACUGAGCAUGGGAACUUCCUGUGAACACACCAGCCGCAGAAAAUACCAUAUGCCGGCAAGUUAUGUAGGGAGUACUUGUACCAAACAUGCAUCUUGAAGUUUGUCCUUGUAGCUCGGUCGUAUGUCCAUACCCCUUUCUCCCAAGCACGGACCAAAUCAUCAAUUAGAGGCUCCAUGUACACACUCAUAUUAUUCCCUGAGUGUUCUGGAAUUUUUUCAACGACAAAAAUAUGUUCUGUCGUUGAAAGAGGACACCAGGAGGGAGAUUGAGGGGGAUAACAAACAUGGGCCAACAGGUGUAUAGGGCAGCCGCCAUUCCAUUAGGAUUGAACCCAUUUGUUGCCAGCGGAACACGUACAUUACAGGCAUCUAGAGCUUUCUCACGAUAAAUCGCAUCAAACCUUGUCCAGGCUUCACCAUCGGAUGGGUGUACCAGCUUCUCAGCUUUGUAUCGACGUCCAUUUUUGUGCCAUGUCAUCUAUUUCGCGGAUUCUUCAGUCAUGUAAAGCUGUUGGAUCCUUGGUAUAAAGGGAAGGUACCGUAGGAUCUUCACGGGGAUUGCAAGCUUCUUCUUCUGACCAUCACUAGAGUCUACCUCUAGGAACCUAGACGAUUUGCACUUCACACAGUAUUUUGCUUCCGCAUACUCUUUCCUAAACAAGAUGCAUCCCUUCGGGCAAUCAUGUAUCUACUCAUAUGGCAUCUUAAGUGCACGAAGGAGUUUCUGUGCGUCAUACAUGGUCUUUGGCAAGAUGUGACCCUCCGGGAGCAGGCUCCCAAAAACUGUCAACAUAAUAUCGAAGGCGUCUCGACUCAAGCUAAACUGGGACUUCACGGCCAUUAGAUGUGCAAUGGCAUCCAAUUGAGAAACCUUGGUAUGCCCGUGAAGGGUUGCUGUGCCGCAGACAACAUAUCAUAAUACGCCUUUGCGGUAGCCUCUGGCUCCUCCUCCCUACGUGCUUCAUGGUAGUCAUCUAACAUGUCUCCCACCCCGGCAUCAUCAUCGUAUUCCUCGAUGUGUUGUCUGACGACCUUGUCUGUCCCACGAUCGGAUUCACCGUGGUAGAUCCACCUAGUAUAGUCUGACAUAAAUCCAUGCUUAGCAAGAUGUUUACCCAUGUCCAGCUUGGUUUGCCGACGCAUGUUUCCACAUUUGCUACACGGACACCAAGUGGAUCUUGCUCCUUUGAUCCUUGCAAACGCCCGUUCCAAGAAAGCAUCGGUCUUGUUAAUCCAUUUAUUAGUCAACGAAUUCUGACUAGAGCGGCCCGUGUACAUCCACUGAUGAUCCUCCAUCCUCUAGCAUAUCACCGAAUAAUAUAAAAAAUCGUGUUGCAUUACACGUUCCUAUAUUAUCUAUUAGGUGAAGAUAGGUCCUAAUCCCACCUGAGGAUGUGUAGGUGGAUUUAGUUUCCAUGGUCUACUCCGACUCGGGAUAGAAUUUCGGGAGCACCUCCUCGGUGUCCACCAAAUACACGUCCUGGAAGGGAGAUUCUGUAUCUGGAGAACAACAGGGAGGUGCUGCCGAAACUCUAUCUCGGAUCGGAGUAGAACAUGGAAACUAAACCCACCUACACAUCCUCGGGCUGUCCAAAAAACAUGGACAAUUCGAAACAAAUACGGUUAUAGAUAUGCAAACAUCUGCAUAUUCCCAACCGUAUCUCUUUUAAACGGGAUACGCCUAACUAGGUUACAUGAUAUACGAACAUCAUACGGAAAGAGAGGUGUAGGAUGCCUCACCUUGCUAUCCUGCAAAGUAACGACUCGAGGAUGGUAACGUAGCCUCUUCUGCAAAAAAAGAACAUACUACUGUCAAGUUAAAAUUUCAACAGCACCUCCCCUGCACGGGGAGGUUUCCAUAACCUGCAUCAAAUAAAACAGCACGAUGGCUGACAACCACAUCUACAACAACGGAACGGCACGAUGGUCGACAUCCACAUACAGUUCUUAUACCUUAGAUUGCCAAGUCAAACAUUCUUUUCUAAUUUCUGAAACAAAAGUCCUACCACCUCUCGAUCUUCUGUAAAAAAAUCCUUUCCUAUCCUUUUCUAAUUUCUAAUUCCUUUUCUAAUUUCUAACUCAUCCUACCACCUCUCUACCCUUUUCUAAUUUGUAAUUUCAAUUUUUCAACUUGAAGAACAAAGAUUGAAGAGUUACUGGAAGAGAGGUGAGGAGCACCGGCCAAGAGGGGCGAGGAGACGUCCGCCGGCGGCAGCCGCGCCAGUGGCAGGGUGCCGGCUCCGGGGGCGGAGGCAGCAGGCUGGGCGGGGCGCCGUCACCGGGAGCGGCAGGCCGGGCACCGGGGACGGGGCGCCGGCACUAGGGGCCGCGGUGGCGGCGGGUCAAGCGGGACGGCAGGUGGGGUGGGCCGCCGGAGGAAGAGGGCCCCAAGAGACGGGCGGGGGGGCUGGCGGGCGGGCUGCUGGGCAGGCGGGGGCGGCUGCCGGCGGCGGCGGAGUGCGGCGGCGGGGCGCGUGAAAUCGGGCGGCGGCGGGGCCGUAAAGCGGCUAAGUGUUUGGCUUGCUCACUAUCAGAGUGGGAAGGUCGGGGGGCUUAAGUCAGGAGGUUUGCCGAGUGCCCUCAAUCUGGCACUCGGCAAAUUGUGACUUUGCCAAGUGCCCACGAUCUAGCACUCGGCAAAGUGUGCUUUUGCCGAGUGCCAGAUCGCGGGCACUCGGCAAAGUACAGUUUUAAUUUUUUUAAAAAAGUUUCAAUCGGUACACGAGCCUGUCAGCGGUCCCGUGUACAUACUUUGCUGAGUGUCUAUUGAAAACACUCGGCAAACUAUUGUCUUUGCCGAGUGUCUUCUUCAAAAACUCGGCAAAGUACACUUAUAUUUCAUGUUUAUUUCUUCAAUAACGUGUUGCUAACUUUUUUCCUAUAUACUUUGGAAAAACCUUGUCAAAUUCACUCAGCAAUGCAUAUUUGAUUUUUCUACUAAUAUUAUUCCAUUAUUUCAUGCAGCUACAGCUUCAAAUGAAUUUAUAUCUAUUAAAAAUCUAUAAUUGCAGUUAAUAAAUAAAAAUUAUCAUACCGAUCCGAAAAAUUCCCAAAAUUGGACAUGAACCAAUCUAUGUUGUAUGUUGCAUAUACAAAAAGUUUUGAAGUCAAACCCCAAUUCAAGUGUCACUUGGACUCCAAAUCUUAUCGGAUCCUUGCUAACUUCUACGAAUCUUCUUGGGAGAUGUGUCGGUUUGUAAGCAUCAUAUGUCCGAAAUUCUGCAAAACCUUCUCAAUUUUUACCACAGCCUCCACAUAUAAUAUCAUGACAUCUUAACAAAUCUUGUGAUGUUCACACUUCGUUUGCUUUUUUUAGAAUUAAAAACCAUUCAACCACACGUUUGUGGUCGUGUUUUUUAAAACAAAUGUUCAAAAUUUCUUUUCAUUUCCUGGUUGAGACCUCAAUCCGGAUUCAAUAACAUGAAUCUGAUUUUUUCACUGAUUUUAUUCCAUUAUUUCAAUCACUUGCAGUUAAAAUAUGACUUAAAUCAACAAAUUCCCAUUAAUGAUAUUAAUUCAUUAAAAAUAGCAAACAGACUAAAAAAUAGAUCAACUUUUAACAUGCAGUACAAAAUGUCGUAUAUGGGGAGUAGAAAAAGUGUGGAGAGCAUAGGUGAAAAAAAAAGUUUUGUCUUUGCCGAGUGCUAACAAAAACACUUGGCAAAACUCUAAGUUUGCCGAGCGGCUGCGGAAAACACUCGGCAAAACUCUAAGUUUGCCGAGUGUCUAGAGGAAGCACUCGGCAACCUCUAAGUUUGCCGAGUGUCGGUAACGGACACUCGGCAAAGUACUAACGGCUGGCACACUGUCCUAACGGACGGCACACGUGCGAUCCACGUGCUGGAGAGUUACCGAUUGUCAAAUCAUUGCCGAGUGUUGGUUGGAUUUUUGCCAAGUGUGUUCUCCGCGACACUCGGCAAAUCUGUUGUUUGCCGAGUUCAUUAUGUAUGCCGAGUGUCUGCAACUAUACACUCGGCAAAUAAGAUAUUUGCCGAGUGCCCGACAAAAAGCACUUGGCAAAGAUUUUACACUCGGUAACUUUCCUGUUUCCGGUAGUGUCUACUCCUUAUCGUAUUCUUGUAUAGCAUGUCGAAGUUAUAUGGGACGUUAUGAGGAUGCUGACGCGUAUGCGGGCUUUAGUGGGGACAGAUCGGAUUAAAUGAUGGGAACAGCAGGGAUGUAAUGUAAUGAGCCUCCGGUCUACUGGCAACAAAUUUUUCUGGAGUGGUAACAGAAAGACACGCAGUGUGGGAGUGAAACACACGAGAAUAUAUGCCUUUUUUCUCACUUGUGUUUUUUUCCUUUUUGACCUGCACCUUCAAAAAGAGGCCGGCAUGGGCGCACGGUGCCCUCUUUUCUCGGUGCCCGGCCUUCCUUUUCUUCUUUUUCCAAACGCACUUGCUACAAUGCUGAAGCACAUCUGUGUUGGCACGCACUAGGCUGAAGCACAUCUGGGUUGGCACGCACAAGACUGGCCUUUCCCCAAGAAGAUACUAAACCGUCGCUGAGGAAUGGGCAUGUAUGAACACAGCGUCGAUGCAGCAUGUCUGCACACACAGCUCACUGAAGACGACGAACGCUAAACCAAGGCACAAGGUCCGAACUCCGAAGGAACUAUGGAUAAUCAAGGUACGUAAGCAGAGGCUCAGUAUACUCUGUCUUGAAUUAUUUUCAUAUUCAGUUAAAGCCCUUCUUGGGUACCUGUCCGGCAUACUGAUUGCUUAGUUUUUUUUUCCGAUCAAAAUCUACGAACGUAAGUCCUUUCCUAGAGGAAGAUUGUACUCAUCUUCCACUCCAAAAAAAAAAAUAUUGGACUCAUCUUAUAUGGAACCUGUGGUUCCAAGAUGAGAUAGAGUUGUAGCUCAGCGAUCUCCACACUAGAUUUAAAGUCGCUCUAACCUCCUCUUCUUCAACUUCAUGGGAGCUGCUCUAAUAACCUCCUCUUCUUCCGCUUCAUUGGAGCUUGCCAGUAGUUGAUGUGGGCACCCCUACAAAAUCCUUUUUGGAUAAAGUGGAUUGAAGUGGAAUGGGAGGGAUUGGAGGAGAAAUUAGUUCAUUUUAAACUCAAUUCCUCAUACAAUACUCUUUCUAUUAAAACAAGCCCCUAGAGGUUUACCUCAUGGUUGCUGACCUUCUCCUUCUUGAGCACCUCCAUUGCAACCUCCUCCACCUCUCCUCCUUCUCUGACUCUGAUAAGGAUCAACUAUAAUUGACCAGCCAGCGUGGAGGAGAAGGAAGAGCAACUAACUAAAGGCGCAAUGGCCUGGGUGUGGGUUGACGAAGUGCUUCCACGCCGAUUCGAGCUGUGCCGAAGGAUGGCCUACGGUGGGGAAGCAAAUGGGUUGCAGCAGAGCGGAAAGGGUGCAGAUGCGAGCUCUUGCUGUUUUAUGCACAGUGACAAAUUAUAGAGUGAUCUGGUCAGAACACCGUGUUAAGGAAACAAGCGUGCAAUGUACAUUGCUCACUCGAUUACGUUAUUAAAUCUAGCUCUAGGCAUAUUAAUUACUUUUUGAGUGUUAUCCUGCUCGAGCAAAAAAAUUUAUACUACCAAAACAGCCAGAACAUUACAUACAAUGGUCUAAUUAUUGCAAGAACUCAAAAUUACAUACGGUUAGUAAUAGAGUCCUAAAGUCCCUGCUAUCCAAUGUGAAGUUGUCUCUCUCAUUCAUGGAACUAAUUGAGGAAUAUAGAGAUUUAUCUCUUAUGGAGUGGAAUUUCAAGGUCCUGUUAUAGGACCAGUUGCAAACAUUACUAAAACAGCAAAAUAUCUAUUGGAAACAACGAGGAUCAAUCAAAUGGAUCAAGUUCGGUGAUGAGUCAACGAAAUUCUUUCAUGCAAAUGCUACCAUCAAGCAUGGUAAAAGUUAUAUUAGAUCACUAGCAGACUUGACAGGGACACCGAAAUAUACUCAUUUGGAAAAAGAAACAAUUCUCUGGGAUGCAUACAAGGAACGUUUGGGUACUUCUGAAUACAAUGCUAUGAUUUUUGAUCUACAGCUUCUUUUGCACCAAGGAGAUGAUCUGUCUUGCCUGGAGGAACCUUUUACUCAUGCCGAAAUAGACUCUGUUAUCAACCUUAUGCCAAAUGAUAAGGCGCCAGGUCCAGAUGGUUUUAAUACUAACUUCAUAAAGAAGUGCUGGUCGAUCAUCAAGCAGGACUUCUAUGAUCUUUGUGCUGCUUUCUACUCUGGCUCAGUGUCCCUACGGAGUAUAAAUGGCUCUCUGAUAACUUUGAUACCUAAAGUGGAAGGGGCAGCCCAUGUAUCGGAUUAUAGACCUAUAUCCCUUUUGAACACCUCUAUGAAGCUUCUGACAAAGUUAUUGGCUAAUAGAUUGCAAUCUGUGAUCACAUCUCUUGUGCAUAUGAACCAGUAUGGUUUCAUCAAGUCUAGAACGAUACAGGACUGUCUUGCGUGGGCAUUUGAAUAUCUUCACUUAUGCCAUAAAUCAAGAAAGGAGAUAGUCAUCCUCAAGCUUGAUUUUGAAAAAGCUUUUGACAAGAUUGAGCACCAAGCAAUGUUAGCAAUCAUGAAGCAUAAAGGUUUUGGAGACAGAUGGAUUCAUUGGAUGGAACAAAUCUUUGCCUCUGGUACUUCAUCAGUUCUUUUGAAUGGUGUCCCUGGGAAAAGGUUUGAAUGCAAAAGAGGAGUCCGGCAAGGAGACCCCCUUUCACCCCUUCUUUUUGUCCUAGGGGCUGACUUACUACAAUCUAUUGUAAAUUACUCCAAAGAUCAAGGCCACCUCAAAUUACCAAUACCUCUGACAUACAGCUCGGAUUUUCCUAUUUUGCAAUAUGCUGAUGAUACCCUAAUAAUCAUGGAGGGAUGUCCUAAUCAACUGUUACAUUUGAAGCAGCUUCUUCACAAUUUUGCUCUGUCCACUGGACUAAAGGUCAACUUCAGUAAAUCAAUGAUGGUGCCUAUUAAUAUCACAGAGGAAAGAUUGCAAUUUCUAUCACAGACUUUUGGAUGUGCUAUUGGCACUCUCCCAUUUACCUAUUUAGGACUUCCACUUGGCCUUACCAAGCCCAAAAUUGAGGAUUUCUUGCCUAUGGUCACCAGAUGUGAAAGGAGAUUGGUAUCCACAUCAACAUUUCUGUCAGACGCAGGGAGGCUUCAACUGACAAAUUCAAUUUUCACAGCCAUGCCUAUGUUUCAUAUGUGCACUUUGCAGCUGCCCAAGAUAGUAUAUAAACAAGUGGAUAAACAUAGAAAAUGUUGCCUCUGGAGAAAGUCCGAUGUAAAUAAUAGGCAACCUCCAAAGGCUGCCUGGGAUCUUGUUUGUCGCCCAAAGAAAGAGGGUGGCCUUGGGGUGUUAAAUCUUAGGACCCAGAAUGAAGCUCUUCUUCUUAAGUAUCUUCACAAGUUCCUGAAUAAAUCAAAUAUACCAUGGGUGCACCUAAUUUGGGAGAAGUAUUAUGCUUCUGGAAGGCUACCAGGACAAGUCCGAAAAUGAUCAUUUUGGUGGAAGGAUGUUUUGAAACUCUUGGACAAAUUCAAAGGUCUAGCAUCUGUAACUAUGCAUAGUGGUCAAACCUGUCUCCUAUGGCAUGAUUUGUGGAAUAAUAAGGUCCCAGCACAAGAAUAUCCCCACUUAUUCUCUUUCACUACAAAAGCUGAUAUAUCUGUUAGGAAAGCCUAUCAACUGCCUAACUUGCACCAACUUUUUAAUUUGCCUCUUUCAUCUCAAGCUCUGGAUCAGCUUCUUCAACUAGCAACAGAUCUGGAUGGAAUUCAAUUUAAUGAAGAUCAUGAUUGUUGGACAUAUAUUUGGGGCAAUUCUCACUUUUCUUCAUCAAAAGCAUAUCAUGUCCUGUCUGGCCAUCGUUAUGUGCAUCCGGUUUUUGGAUGGCUUUGGAAAUCUCGCUGUCAAAGUAAACAUAAGUUCUUCUUCUGGCUCCUUCUUAAUGACCGCCUAAGUACCCGAAAUGUGCUCCGAAGAAAACACAUGGUUCUGCCCUCCUAUUCUUGUAUCUUGUGCUCCCAGGAUAGUGAGGAAACCUUGUUCCACCUUUUACUGCAAUGCCCCUUUGCCCAAGAGUGCUGGAUCAAUAUCAGUCUUUUUGCUAACCUGGAGGAUGAGCCUUACACAAUUCUUGAAAGCUUCAAAGCUCAGUUACAUGUUCCUUUUUUUAUGGAAAUCAUUGUGCUCAUGAGUUGGUGCAUUUGGAUGGCAAGAAAUGAUUGGAUUUUCAGGAAUAUCACUCCCUCCAUCCAGGAUGCAAUGAGGAGGUUUCGGACUGUUUUUACUCAAGUUAUUCUACGAGUAAAAGAGGCUUGGAAGCAACCAAUGUUUGAAUGGCUAGAGCACUCAUUGUAAUUUUGCUGAUUUUCUUUCUUUCCUUCUUUGUUUCCUGAUUUGUAUUUGAACUGUUCUUGCUCUCUUUAAUAUAUAUAUAAUCAGCAGGGGAUAAUCACCCCCUCCUGUUUCAUCAAAAAAAAAAUAGAGUUGCCACAACUCACGGGGCCAUUAGUGGGUGCGCAUUCGUCGCUAGCGCUUAUCAGCGAACGAACGGGCCUUCUACUGUCUAUCUUCUUCCUUCGUUCUUUGUUCUUUCUUCCACAACCCUGCCGUACGAACUGCACCAGGCCACCUCCAACGCCGCCGGCCUCCACCACCACCGGGGGCCGGCCGGAGGCGCCCACGCCGUCAUGCCGCUCAGCCCGCCUCCCACCCCCGCCGCACCACCCUGCCCUUCCCUAACUGCUGCCGUCACGCGCCCCCGCUGCCGGCACCGCCCACCGGGUAGCGGCGCGCGCGCCAAAUAAGGAUUUUGCAGAACUCACACUUCAUGUUGUAUUUAAUUUGAAGGUGCUAAUUGGAUUCAUAACACGAAUACGUACAUAAUUAGAUCCGCAGAAACAAAGGCACACCUAGUUACCUAAAAGGCUAUAGAAAGCCGCAACCAUUUGCUAACGACACAUGCCCUGACCUGAUGCUACUUGCAGAGCAAGAGGUGGAUUCUACGUUCCAUUCCCUGAUCGAAGACAUGAAGGACAAGCUAAACCGGCCGCCGGCGCCAGCGACCGAAGCUCCUCCUCCUGCGUGCCUCAUUUCGUGGGUCAACGAGCAAAUCCGCGAAGCGAAGCCCGGCGAGUACAUGCCACUCCACGUCCCCAUCGGUCCGUUCCACCGGGAUCCAUCACAUUGGAUGCAGCACUGGAAGAGGCAUCUGCUCUACCGCGCCCUCCCCGGCGCCGGCGAACAACAGCGCGAACAAGCGCUCCGGCGAUACCUGGAGGCAAUGGCGGCCGUCGAGGUCCGCGCACGGCGGUGCUACGACGGCACGUUCAGUGGAAUAGACAGCGAGGCGUUUGCGUGUAUGCUGCUGCUGGACGGGUACUUCGUUCUGUCCUGUUUCGAGCUCGCUGGCAGUAACACCGGAGGUGACGCCGGGGGCCAUGGAAGCCAGGAGAGCAGACCACGAGAGUUUGAGGCUUACAGACGCGAUGUCAUCUUCCUCCUCGAGAACCAGGUACCUCUCUUCGUCCUGGAGGACAUCCACAGGCUGGUGGUGACCUAUGGUGAAAACGACAAUAGUUCAGUCGUUGUCCAAGGUAUUGCGAGCCACAUCGAAAAGCGCCUCCUCCAAUUAAUGAUGUUGCAUGACACGGUGACGUACAGGACGGUGAUGCCCAAAUUUAGGGGAGAACCACCUUGCCACCUUCUUCACCUUCUCUACGAGUACUUCCGGCCGGCCGACCGCCGCCGCCGAUCCCGUAGUGGCCAACCGAAUUGUUCUCGCACGGCGGCAGUGGCGCACGUCGCGGUUCCUGUCGUGACCAAGCCUCGCUGGCGCUCCGCGACGUACUACUACGCCGCCGGCGUGAGAUUCGCCAAGCGCAAGCUCGACGGCAACGAGGUGCGUUCCAUCCUAGACGUCGAUGUCAAGGACGGCACGCUCCAUGUCCCUUGCUUGAUGGUCGACGCCAACGCGAUGACCAUCCUGCGCAACAUGGUGGCGCUGGAGCAGCACAACCCCGGUAUCGGCAGCCGACACGUGACGGCCUACUGCUUCUUCCUGUCGCAGGUGGCGAGCACGGAGGAGGAUGUCAGGCUCCUCUCAAGUAAGGGGAUCAUCGAGCACGGUCUCAGAACGGAUAGCGCCGUCGCCAACGGCUUUGCGGGCCUCUGCACGGGCGUCGCCCUCAACAUGACCAAUCCGGACUCGUACCUGAAGCCGAUUCAAGAUGAUCUCGAGGUGCUUUGCCAGAGCCGCUGGCGGAAGUCCAUGGCGUGGCUCAGGCACACCAAGUGCAACAACAUUUUGAUGGCGUUGGCGGUGUUAGGGGCGGUCAUCCUCUUCGUGUGCACGGUGGAGCAAUCUUUGUUUGCUGCUUUAAGCUACGCCAAGGGAAAAUAAUCCUGGAUCUAUUCAUUGCCAUGAGCAUAUAGCAAGAAGAGAAGAACGUGUCCCGUUGCAUGUCAUGUAAAGCACGAAAAGGUAUUGCAAGACAGGUAGUUCAUUGUGUCAAAUUAGUGAGUCUAAUGUAACUAAGGCAUAUUUUCACACACCCAUGUAUUUUAGUGAGUCUUAUUCCAUACAAUAUUUAGAAAUAUAUUAAAUAUUAAGGCUAGAAAACUGUAAACAUUGUCUCUUGCACUUUUCAACACCAGAAUCAUAUCUUUCCUAUUUCUUAGACAUGAUGAGGAUUGACCGAAUACGCAACACGUCGCGCAUUUGAACGAUCGCGCGACCAGCGCGGGAGCUAGUUACCUAUGCACUGAGCAUGCAAGUUAUCAUUUUUCUCGUGAACGGUAAGCUGUACAUGGAGAGAGGAUAUAAAAAAGGUAGAUGUUGACCAUAUUAAUAGGUUGUUCCUCCUACUUCAAAAUGUUGUUUCUCUCACAUACAAAGUCCGUUUUUAAUUUUGUUUACAUCAUUGUGUUUCUUAUGACGAGAUCUACAAAACUAGAUCCCCAUUGCAUAUACUGACAUCAUUUUAAUCGUGCUGACAACUUAUGUUUGGAGGUACUAACAAUUUAAAUACAUUUUGUACCAACUUAUGUAGAGAUUGCAUGCCAACCUAAACAUAACUGGUAUUAGCACUUACAUAUACAAGUCAUGGUCAAUUUAUCUAUACCAAAACAACAUAUCAAUAUGUAGCACUAUUAAUUUGUGCCUGUUAGUACCGUCAACUUAUGCAUAGUGGUACAUCUAACUUAUGCAAAGAUACGGUAGUAAUCUAUAUUAAAUGUGAAGUAACAACUUAUAUCAUAUAUCAGCUAGCAAUUUAUGUUUACAGUUGUUAGUGCUAUUGAGUAUAAGGUUAUAGGCCGAAUAAAAUAACUUCAAGAUAUGUGCAAUGUGUGGGUCUUAUUUUGUAGAUUUAAUUAUAAGAAACCUAAUGGUGCAAAUGGAGUGGAAAAUGGAUAUUAAACGAGACAGCAGCGAUGAUUCAAAGAAAAUUAGGUGGGCUAGUAUUGAAUAUACAUUCCCUAAUCUAGUUAACAUGCCACCAUGUUAUUUCACAGCAUCUCACUCUGUACUAACGACAUAAAACUUUCAUCCACUCGGUCUAAUUACCCGCCUAUAAAGCCCAUAUUGUUGCUUACAGGGCCAAGCGUGGGCCACGGGAGUCGCCCACUGCAGUACGAGCGCGACCCUGCAUGCAAUAGCUUUUUCCUAUGACCAAGUGUGCGCAACAUCAUUUGUUAUGUGCUAGUGCUUAACGGCCCAAUACGCCAGCCUAUCAUCCAGACAACGGCUGAAGAGAUGCGGGUGACAGCCCACAUCAAAUAGCUCACCUGUUGCAGCCGACCAUAUGCUAUUGUCCCCACUACUCUAACGCAUGAACGGUUGAAUGUCCGAAGAGAGGAUGAACUAAUGACAUCACCCAUGUGCAUACAAAUCCAAAACUAAAAAAAUAUAAAUCUUAGAUGUGACAUUAAAAUUAAAUUUCGAUUGCUAAUGAUCUUCGAAACAAGGUCCCUCUUAACUAUGUUUGAAUAAUAUUAUUAAAAAAUAUUUUUUAAUAAAUAAUAAUUAAUUUCAGCUACUCUGAACAAAUAAUUGAACAUAACGAACAAAUGAUAAUUUCUUAUGAACAAAUAGAUAAACAUGCCAAAAAAAUAAUAAUAUACUCUGAGCCAAAAUAGUUGAAAUCACGAACAAUUUGUUGUAUAAUACAAAUAAUAGAAAUUGAAUAUCAUGACCAAAUACGUACGUAUUGCCAAACAAAUUAUAUGUACUCACAGAACAAAUAUGCAUACCCCUAGAACAAAAUAAAGAUUUAUACUCGAACAAGUUCUAUAACUUUGCACAACAAAACAACCAUACACAUCGAACUAAUUAUACAAUAAUAGAACAAAACUAUACAAUAAAAAAAAAUUAUACAAAUUAGGGAGACAAAAAAAUAUUUAUAAACUUAGAAGAAAUUACAUUAAUUAUAGAACAAAGCAAUUAUACGCACCAAACUCAAAAAUAUUUAUACCAUAGAACAAAUUAUAUUUAUAUACUUAUUAAUAAAAACUAUAAAUAAAAAGAAAUAAAUGUGAAAAAUAAUGAAACAAAAGAAAGGAAAAUAUGUAUAUAAAAAAUUAUGGGAACAAAUAUAACCAUGUCGCAAAUGAAAAAUAUAUGCAUAUGGAACUAAUAAGUAUAUAAAUAUAUAAAAAUGAAAAUGAAAAAUGAAGAAAAAGAAAGCAAUAGCUAAACAGGAAAAAACAAAAUAGGAAUAAAAGAAUAAAACAAAUGAAAGAAAAGGCAAAAAAAUAAUAGAAAAAUAAAAAGAAAACGAAAACAACCGUCACAUGGGUCGUAAUUGGGCUGUUACCGUCUCGUGUAGAAGGAUGAAAAAGAGCAACAGGCUGAAUCCACCCUGGAUACCUAUCUGUCGCAUAUGCAACAUAUAGCUAUCCGCACGUACAGGAGCCCUUGCAAGGCGUCUCGGGCGUCGGUUCGCAUCAAGCAAUCAUGGAUCAACUACAAGUCUACAAGUAGGCGACUUGAAGGAAUGCUCAAUGCUGUGACGGUGCGACAUGCGAGCUUGCCACGGCCACAGCCGCUUGGCAAUGCGGUAGAGGCCAAGAUGCAUUCAAAGAGAAAGGGCGAUGCCAAAUCGAGAGGUACACAACUAUGUAUUGCAGAUUUGCAGCUAACAAAUUUUUUAUGUUUCCAAUUUAACCUUAAAUCGCAUGGCUAGACUCUGGUGUGUCUCUUGACUUACUGCACCUGCAUUUUUUUUGUAUUCUGUCCUCAAUUUUAAAUCAUCUCUAUGUAUAUGUUCUAUAUUUCUAUGAUUCGUACUCGGCACAUCAUUGCAUAAUGCAUAUACACCUUGCAGGCAUUAUAAAAAAUAAUUUUUAGAACUUGUUGAAAUGACAUUUGCAGAAGAAUUGGUGCGCUGUCCUCUCGUGCUUUUCGCAUGUAGAAAUAGCUUAUUUGCAUGGGUGGCUCAUUACACAUAUAAAUUUAUGACAUUUUCAAGCAAAAUUUUAAAAUUUUUGUUCACCCCAGUAUUAACGUAUUCAGCAUUAAAUAUUCAAAUAAAUAUACAAACAUAAUUUUUAAUAUAAAAACAAGAUAUAUAUAACAAGUAUCACAAGUUCAUACAUAUUAUUUAAGAUGUCUAAAAUAGCAAGUUCAAAUCCAUAUAAAAAGGGUACGGGUACCUUCAUGUUACACAUUUUGUAUUUCUCUAUAUUUUAUUAGAUAUGGAACAUAGUUAAUAUCUCCAAUCAUAAAUCCUAGCACUUCAUCAAUUUAAAUUAGAGCAUGAAUUAGUACAACCUCAACUGCUUCACAUCGACGAUAACAAUGGAGAGGUAAAAUCUAAUGUCCUAUAUAAACUGAGAUGAUCCUGCCACUUGCGUAUAUUAACUACAAUUCAAUACAUCCAAGGCUUGAGAUGGAAUUGCAUGAAAACUCAUAGCCGCAAAGGUUUGACAAAAUAUAUCUUAAAAGAUGAGAAUAGCAUGAUGAAACUUUGUUCCAUAAGAAAAGAUAAAGUAAAAUUAAAUAUGUUCCAUACCAUUUCAUUUUCAUUCAGCUCUCUCAAUAGUCACAGCCACAUCUUGUUCUCCCUCCUCAAGCGUCUUUGUUAAAAAAUAUGAGAAGUCUGGCAUAAAGUACCCAAGAUCCUUAAGCUAUUGUAGACAGACGAUUACAGUGGUUCUUUUGAAAGUCAACUUCAUUAUUGUUGACUGCAGUUAGCACGCCAAGUUGUGAACUGCAAGCGCACGUGUGGCAGAACCACCAAAAUUAACUUGGCUAAAAUGCUCUUAACUUCGCCUCACAUGCGAAUCAAUACUUUCAAGUUAACUCGGUAGUCUAUCGGAUUAUACCCGAUAAACCACUUAACUUGGAUCGUCACAAAGCAUACUCAUUCGACGGUGAGUCCAGAGAUCACAACAUUCUAGUUGAAUUAAAUAUAGUUCUCACUUUAAUUUAUUACAACAUAAGUUCAAAAAACAAACAUAGUUUUUAGAGUGUUCUGGCAGUGAAAAAGUUCAUGCGGAAGCUACUCGUCGAUACAAAAUAUCACGGCGAAGCCAACCAUGAUAUCAAUAACCGUGAUCCUCGCCAUCCGAGGAUGGGUCCCACUCGACCAUCCAACCCAGAGGGAGCUGGGUCGGCCAAGUCAACCUAGCAGCACAGUCAUCAACAUCUAUCAUAAUACCUAAAAAGAUAAGCCACAAGCAAGGUUGAGUAUACUAAUACUCAGUAAGACUUAACCGUCGGGUGUUAACUACUCCACCAACUUCUAGACAUGCAAGACUUUUUGGUUGAGGGGUUUGUUUUGCCAAAAGCAUCUAGGUGGGUCCUAGUGAUAUCCAUUCUAGGUAAGCACCUAUUCUAAGCAAUCAUGUGAUCAAGCAAUUUAAUUCAAGCAUCAGUAUUAUUCAUCACCAUUUGUUCCUCUUCUUACUUAGUGCAAAAGUGCAGUCAAGUAGUCUCAAACUUUGAGCGGCAGAUGAUUCAAAUCGAGUUUUUAAAACCUUGCAAGGUGAACCUAACCCCACGACAUCCGCGUACCACGACGGGUUCGCUUCACUUGUCAGCCGUCCCCAUCAAUUCCCAGGCACAUGGUCGGGCCCACUUCCCUUGGAUACAAGGCCCCAUGGUCCCGAUCGACGUCGUACCAUGGCAACACCUGUACCCACAUGCGGCCGCAGGGGACUAGUUCCAGAGAUAGUGGGGAGGUACGCCCACAUUCCGGUUCAAUCUGGUGCUAGGCUUUCCCAUCCCAUACUAGAUAUGAGAUUAGUAUUUUCAAAGACUUGACCACUGUUCUAACACAUCUCGACCUUAGCAGUUUUUUUCUAGACAGACGGGGCAAUCCACCAUCCACCAAAACAGAACAUAUAGCCUAGUACCGCCCGUCAAUCCUUAUGAUUCCAACAUAAGUAAACAGACAACUCCUAUAGCUCGCGAGUGACAGGAAAUCGCUCGACUUUUAUCGUGUCCCUAUUUAGCAUAGCAACUACAUGACUUAAAAUACUAGUAUUUAGCACAUAGGUACCUAGGAUCAUGCAACUAAGGUUUCAAGCAACUCCUAUAAACUUAAUGCACAAACAUAACUAGCAUAAGUAGUGCAUAAUUUUAAAAACCAGGGUUAUGCUCCGGGGCUUGCCUUCCUGGACUAGGUUAGUAAGCAGGUCGUUGGAAGCUUCAGGAAUCUCCUACUCGGCCUUGGUGUGGUGCAGCUCGGCAAAUCCUUCCUCCUCAGCAGGUGUUAGUUCGUACGUUCCGUCUGCGUGGUUCGCUUCUACACAAGAUGCAUAUGCAAUGUUCAAGUUUCAUGAGUUUGCGAGCAAGAUGCAUUUCAAGUUAAACAGACGCAUUAAGUGCAACAACCACUACACUUAGAUAAACACUAAACUUUAUAUACUAGAUGAGUAAUUUUGUGUUUUAAUGCUCGGGGUGUAAUUGAUGGUGAUUGUGUACACAUGUAUUAGGUUUGUAAUUACUAACUGCCAAAGAGAAAAGGUACCAUCCUAGGGUUGAUCUAGCUUAGAUCGGAAAGUAAUCCUAUUUCUGAAUGUUUUUUUUACUUGUUCCAAUAUUUCCCAUAUUACCCUUACUAUUACUUAAUUUGUUUUCAUUCAUUUAUUUUGGGUUUAACUUCCAUAAUUUGUUUCUACAUGCAAACAGUGAGAUAUGGCACUGAAAAUUUACGAGGAACUUAACCAUAUCAUUGCUAAGCUAGUGUAAAAAGUUGAGGCUCAGUAGACUUCUUCAAAAAUAAAUAAAAUUAACUUAAGAUCCUAUGGUUGAUUCCACUUAACUAUAUUUAUCUCCAGUUUCACAGAGAGUUUGGCUCUGAAAUUUUAACAGUGAGUUAUACUAGUGCAACAAAGGUUCCUGAAAUUUUGCCAUGAUUUACAGUGAAGGACAUAUAUUUCCAUAUUUUUCCUUCAUUUACACUUGUACAAAAAGUUAAGCAUGUUUCAUCAAGUUUCAUACAGUGACCCUUAUUUUUCCUAGUGGGUGUUUUGCAUCCAUGAUCUAAGAAAAGUGGUUUCAUAGUUUUCUCCGUCUUAUUCCGUUUAUUAUGCAAAAAGUCAGAUUCCACCUAAGGUUUCAAAGUUUAUUCUCAAAUAGUGGUGUUAAACAUCUAACUAGGCUCACAACUAUUUUAUUUAGCACAAGCUUAACAGAACAGAUCUAUCAGAAGUAGAUUUGUCAUUUUACCAUUUUUAGGUGAUUUAUGGUGCAUUUAUUGGAUUGAACACAAAAUAAAUCCUAGAGAAAUAACUACUACAGUGACAUGUACAAAAUUAUUUUUCUGUGAAAUUACUCGACUCAAAGAGUCUAACAAAGGUUGUUUUGUAUUUUUCCCAGUUUGAUACAAUUUUCUACACAUUUUCAAAAUUUGCAACCAUUUAAUCUAGGAAAUAAAAGAAAACCGUGACCAAAUUGCAAAACAGCCCCCAGAUCUAAAGUUUCUUUGCACAUAAGUCCCUAAAAUAUUCCCCAUACACCCCUUCUCUUCUUCUCCUUCUCCCUUUAACACCCUCACACAUCAUAUUCAGGAAGAUAGAAACACAACACGGUAGACUUGGCAUGGCCAUGGCUAGGGGGAUGGCGCGGCAGGGAGGGGGAUAGCGGCACAGCGGGGCCUUGGGGACCAGGAGCCUCACCAGCAGGGGUGCAGCGCAGGGAGGAAGCAGGGCAGCGCAGGUUCCAGGAGGCUUCACGGCAACAGAAAAAGGGGGCGGAUGGGCUCGCCGUGGGGAGGACCGUCCGGCGAGGGAGAGAGCCCGGGAAAUGGAAAAACGGAUGCACGGUGGCUUGAGGAAGGUGUGGCUGCGAGGAAUCGAGCCAAGGCUCGCUCACGGCGAUGAAUUUUGCUGAUGAAGGAUGGGAAAAGAUGGAGCUCGGGUCACUGGUAAUGGAGGUGUAGGGUGUGGGGAAGCUAGCACCUGGCUUUAUAGGUGGGGAGUGGCGAGGAUAAGGUUGGCGUGAAGAUAAGGGCACCACGGCGACACGGGACGACCAUUGGCGGCGAGGCGAGCUGUGACGACCGACCCCGAAAUCUCCCGAGUUAAUCUUAAUCCGACCCCCUAAUCACUUGUCUUAGUUUUCCAAGCCUAAGUGUUCAACCUCCCGACCGGUCCCGACCCCUGAGACCCGACGACCCCUCUCCGCUGGCAUCCAGUUCCGACCCCGCCGACCCCAACUCACCCGCUGGAUCUUUCUGAGUCAUUCCCCAACACCUCCCUUCAAUCUGACCGGUGGGCCCACGAGAUCUUUUCUCCCAGAUCCCCCGCGACAGGCGCACUCGAGUUGCAUGCUCGCUUCAGAGUUCCCCCGCCGCGUGGCUCAACUCCUCCGACGUCCGCCGCUCCGCCUCAUCUUCGGCCCGCGACCAAAUGGAUUCUCGCGCCCUCCUCCCAAUAGCAGCGGAAGCCCCUCUGCAACCUUUCUGCAGCACCUCGCUGCCCGCGCCCAUCAUCACAUCGCCAGAUCCCGGCCGCAGAGCCCGAUGUCGCCCGUCUUUUCCGUCACCUCGCCACAGUCGCGCCGCUUGGUCUUCGCUACCCGACGAUUCCUCCUCCGCCAACCCCGACCACGGCAGCGAUAGCUCCUUUUCCCGCCCUGUUAGAAGCCGCCCGACAAUCUGUUGCUCCGCGCUCGCCCGCGCGCCCGCAGCCGCCUGUCUUCUCACCUGUGCGCCCUCGUUCCUAGAACCGUUAUCCCGGUCACUUCCAUCAGCUCCACCGCACGACGACGCCCGCCUCCGCCAAAUCUCAACCACCGGCAAACCCGCGCCUGCGCCGCCCUGACGCCAGAGCCCAAUGACCACUAGCGUCAUCCCCGAAGUCCUGCUCCACCGCCCUCGUCGCUCAAUCGCCGCCCAGGUAGAGCACUCCAUUGCUUCUUCCCCGGCCUUCGCGCCGCUCCCCUUCUCACACCCGCGCCGCUAUAAAAGGGAAUGCGCGAGCCCCGCCGGAGUCCCCUUCGCCAUCGCUGCCCUCCCGCCAUUUCUCUUGCUCCCUGUUCGAGCUCCCAGCGCCACCACAGUAAGUUCCUGAGGAACUCUCCUCUCCGCUCCACACCGUUUUCCCCAAGCCACCCAGCCGCUUGCUCCUCCGUGCUGCGUAAGAGCUUACUUGUGAUCCACAAGAAGCACCGCCGCCACCGGAGCACUGCCGGACCUCGCCACUGUUCAAAGCCUUAGUCCCUCCACCCAAGUCUGCUUCUUCCCGACCCCAAGCUUUCCUUGUAAGACGAAGGUAAGCUGCCGACCCCUUGUCCGCCUCGUCCGACCCUUCUGACGUCCGACCUUUGUCCGUCUCGUCCGACCCCUUUUGUUCGUCCGACCUUUUCCGCCUCGUCCGACCCUUGUCAGCUUCGCCCGACCCCUUUUAUCCGCCCGACCCCGGUUCCGUCUCGCCCGACCCUGUCUGUUCCGCCAACCCUUUUCCGCCUCGCCCGAGGACUCGGCUGUAUCCUUUUUCUUCGAACCGAGGGUGUAUGUGUAAAACUUGGGGACCCUUCAGCGUUGAGUCUGAGGACCCCUAGCACACCAAAUCCUCUAGAUUAAGGGUCAGAUCAUAAGUUCCUUUCCUUCGACCCUUACCUCUUGAUCUCCAUCAACUCCAUUGAACUUUCCCACCCUCCUGUAUCUUGUCACAAGUUUCUAGGCUCAGACUUGCAAGUGUUGCUGUUGAAAUAACCGUCUAUGCUAACUCUUGCAUUGCAUUUUCGUGUAGAGCUGCGUCUCGCCGACGGCUACUACAAGCUGCACCCGGGCCAGAAGACGACGGUGUAGCCGAGCUCCUACCCCCAGAAGCCGAAGCCGCCCAAGCAGAAGAGCAACUUCCUCCUUUCUCGCUUGAAGGCAAGCCCCGGAUGCAUGAAACUCCUGUGUUUGCCAAACUUGCGCAUGCCUUCUGCAUCUUGUUUGUGCAUUUACGUAUAGGAGUUGUUUGGAACCAUAGGUGUAUAACUUAGAUCCCUUGAUCUGAACACUAGCUGUUGGAUCGAGUAGCUGCUUUGCUUAAAUAGGAAGCGGUAAAAGUCGAGUGAUUUUCUGUCACUCGCGAGUUGUAGGAGUUGGUUGUCUUCCUCCUAUCACAACUAUAAGGACGAUGGACGGGGCAGGGUUUUGGGUAACUCUUUGGUGGUCGGUUGAUCAUCCUGUCUGUCUGUGAAACUUGCUAAGGCCCGGCAGUGGUGGUGUUCGUGAUCAAGUGUUUGAAGGUACUAACCUCAUACUUAGUAUGGGAUGAGGAAGCCUAGUACCGGAUUGAACCUAGACGUGAGCGGUUGCCCCAUUGUUCUUGGAACAGAGUUUCCCCUGCUGGUUGUCGCACGUGGUGGCAAGCGUGGUCACAGAACGGCAGAGGCCGGGUCUGUGGGACCUUGCACCAAAGGAAAUGGGCCCGACACGGGUUAGGGGAUUGAUGGGGAAGGCCGACACAGGAAGCGACCUCCGGGUGCGCGGAUGUCGUGAGGUUAGGUUCACCAUGCAUGGUUAAAGAACUCGAAUCGAUUCGUCUGCCUCUCAUAGUUUGAGACUGCUUGAUCGCUAUGCUACCCUGAGUAAGAAAGAAAUAUGAUGAUGACAUGGUUUUGUUGAUGUUAUAUAUACACCUUUGGUUGGUUCUAUGAUUGCCUAGAAUAGGUUGCAAAACUUAGACCGGAUAAUGAACUUAGAACCGGAGCUAAAACUUGAAAGUAGGGUUACACAUAGUGCUUUUGGCAAACAAACCCCUCAGCCAAAAAGCCUUGCAUGUCUAUAAUUGGAGGAGUAGCUUUACUCCUGUCGGUUAAGUCUUGUUGAGCUUAGUAGCUCAGCCUUGUUGUGGCUUUUCUUUUCAGGUGAAGUUGCUGCUUCCGAGCCUUCUUCCGUUGGCACUUGGCCGCCCCAGCUCCCUCCGGGUUGCACGGUCGAGUGGGAUCCCUCCUCGGACGGCGAGGAAAGGGACCACUGACAUCUUGGCUGGCCUCACCAAGGACGUCCGACCCCUGCGUUAGCUUCCGCUAGUAUUUUACCUUCUGUUGUUUUUCUUUUGAACCUUGUAAAACUCUGAUGAUUUGUUUUUCUGGCCGAACUAAAUGGUUAAGUUGAUUAACUCGGUGGACUUGUUGUAUUCUCUGGAACCACUCACCUUCGUGUGAGUUUGCUAACUCGAUCCUGUUCACGUGGUUAAUCGGAUGAAAUCCGACGGCACUUCGUGUUAACUUGGCUUAGGCAUGGGUGUCGCAUGUUAGGCGACUUAACCCUGUUUAAUUAAGUCAAUCCGAAGUGGAUCCGCCACACGAGCGCUGGUGUUCCCUGGCCGUGUGGCGGUGGUGGCAUUCCGAGCGGCAGGGGCGCGGGUUGGCCGUUGGCCGGCUAGGAUGCGCUGCAACGGGUAGAGAUGUGCUCGCGAGGGGGUUGGGUAGCGUGGGAGCUCGUGUGGCUUGGUGCACGCGGUGACCGCGCACCUGGCAGGUGGGCGAGAAUGCGACGGCGCGCGAGGUAGCUAGGUUUAGGCGUAUUUUACUCACAAUUUUCAAACGGAACUUGAAAAUAUUUCAAACUAAAGGUUAUAGUCCUAACUCCAGACUACAAACUCUAGAAAGGCCAUAUGCUCAAAUCUGUGGUAAUUUUGAAGUUAAACUCAAGCCAAAAUUUGCUGGAUUGCCGCUUCCAACACUUAGCAGAAGAUUUGAAAGAAGUCGUAUUUAAAGCUUUUGCUGAACCUUAACUCAAGUUUUGAAAGGGUUUUGCUCUAAUUUAGACCAAGGUCAAAUGGACAACAUUGUUGUACACACUUCACACUCAAACACUUAGAAAAGGAUCAGGUCCAAAAGAGUUUUAGAUUUUGUAGAAUCACACGCCAAAUUGGAAGACACGUCUUUUAGAAUUUAGAGCAGUGUGCUGAAUUUGGAGUUGGAGCUGAUUUUGGAGUCGAAUUUGAAACGGUUCCAGUGUGAGUUGGUCAAUGCUCAAAUUAACAAAGUUGUUGUCUAAAGUUCAUUUUACAAAUUCUAUAAAGGCUUCAUCUUCAAACCAGGUCUAGAUAUAGAGAUAAUAGGUUUUAAACUUCCCUAACAGACAUGUUCUUAAGGACAUAGUGAAUUUGACAAGGUGUUUGAAUUAACAUUGAAAUUCAAACUGAUUUUUGAACGUCUUCCUCUCCAAACUAGCAAAAUUUCAAAUAAGCAAAGUUGUUUGUUUUGAUAUGUUUUACAAGUCUUAUAUUGGUAAAAAUUGAAGUUGUUAUGUAAAAUAUGAAUUUGUGAUCCACCCCUAAUUUAAGCUUUUAAAGGGCAUUUUGGUCCAUUUAAGUGCUAGAUUAACUUCUAAACACUCUACUUAAGCUUUGAGAAGACUAAUUAAAACUAGGGUUGUUGCAGCACAGAUCAGUUGUAGCUUUUCCCUGAGAGUAUCCCCUAAGGUUUAUCAAUCCACAGAAUAUGGAUUUGCAUGCUUAACUAAGCACUAAUCUAUGUAACUGAAACUCUUUGUAUUGGAUAAAAUUAUGCUAACAAAAGAACUAAUCAGUAUAUAUCAAAGCAAAUAGAGAGUAAAAGGUUGUGAACAAGAUAGAUGGAACACAUGUCCGAGAGAUCUAGGAUUACUUGCAGAUGCAAUCACCAUGAAUGAAAGAACUAGAUCUAAGUGUUAUCGUGAGUGGAUGUGGACCAUGCCCAACACUUAUCCUCUUGCAUACCGUCACUACACAACACAAAGAUAAUCAACUAUUGGACAAUCGAAACAUGACAUGCUGAUCGCGUAAGCAAUAAAGCAACCCAAAGUAGUGCUGGCCAGCCAUUACAUGAAAGAGCAUCAUAAAGAUAUGAAUGAUAACAAAUAGAUCCUUAAGAAGAGGUUCAGCGAUUACAAAUCAAGAUCUCCAUACAACCGCAAGGACAAACAGAGACUUUACCCCAUGAUCUUACACAUGUUGCCACAAAAAGGGGUAAAGGACACCUAGUAGAUCAAUUGGACCGAAGAAGACAACGAACAGGGGCAGGAAAGCCCCAUGCCGAUUAGCCUGGGCACCUCCAAGCUGAUCGGCUUGGGGUGUUUUCCCCUCCUUUAGUGCUCCGCUUCACGUGGCCUCAUAUAGAUCCAAUCUUCACUCCAUUUCCCGAUCUUGUGGUAGCGGUGGCUGGUGUUUUCAUGGUGUUUCCUCCUUCUCUCUCUCUCUCUCUACUCGUAAUCCAUGAGGGGGUAUUUAUAGUCCUUCUUAGCCAGCGGCUCUGGACAAUUGGUUGUGGAAAAACCCUAGAUGCAUCGUAGACUUCACACCGAAGAAACAGGGACACGACCGGGCCCUGGAAGGGGCUAGGUCGAUCAGCCUAUAGGGUCCCUAGCCGAUCGACCUGGGCCCUUUCUGGCCCAUCUGGUCAUUCUCUUUAUUGUGCAGGCUUCUUUCGAUGACCCUCGUCCAAUUAUCCAUUAAGCUCCAUAUGAAAACCCACUGAUUAUGUCGUAUUUCCUAUCAAAAUACAAUAUGCUCCAAAAUAUAACACGUAUGCAAUAAUGGGGUUAUUUCAAGUACCAAGUGGUGGGGUUACUAUAAGUGUCAGAUUUAGUGACCGGUAGUCCAGCAAGGGGUUACUCAAGUGGUAGAUUUGUAGGAGGGGGAGAUCGUAAGACCAAGAACUCAAAUGGUAACAUAGGGAUGCAAGGUUUAGACAGGUUUAGGCCUCCUGAUAGUAAUACCCUACAUCCUGUGUUCUAGUGGAUUGUAUUACUGAUUGAGGGUGCGAAGAGUUACCCUCGAGGGGUGUCCCUGGCCGCCUUAUAUAGACUGACGACCCAGGGUUACAAUCAGAUAAGAUCUAAUCCUAGUUGGUUGUUACAUGGAAAGCAAUCUGAGUUAGUUUACAGCAAGUAUCUUGUGAUAUCCGGGCAGAAUCCGUUCGCACGACCUUUGAACAUGUGCUCCAUGUAUUUUUAUGCCUUGGCCCGCACGGCAUGGUCAGGCGGGCCCACUUGUCAGGGCCGACGAGUAUCCUGGUCGGUGGGGACCUGUGGGUAUGCUUAUCCCUUAAUAAAAUUAGUCCAAUAAUGAGCGUCAACAGUUGUUGAUUCUUGACCACAUGCCACAAUAUAUACCUUUCUACAAUCCGAAGUAAUCAAGGUGAAGGGGGGCAUUAGGAAGCUGCCGCAACCGAGGAAGAACGCCGCAAAUGCGAUUCCGUAGCAGUCAACCUGGAUCGGAAGGUGGAACUUGCGAGGAAUUGGAGGUUUCCGCAGGGAAGGGGUACUGCCUUCGCUGCGCUUCCAUGCCAUGAGCUAGUCGACGAGGAGGGGCGGUUGACCACACGGAGACCAGCACCUAGCUAGCCAGGUGGGAUCUUAAUGACUUCCGGCUGCCCUGGCCAUGCCGCUGUCCCCGUUCGCCGACGUCUCCGACUCGACCUCCUCAUCCGCGGCCGCCUGAAGACGACGACUCCGCAGACGUCGUGGUCAUGCGCCAGUUCUUCCCGGCCCCGGCAGAGGCGGCCGGCAUGGGGGGGUGUUGGAGGGGGGCGGGGGGAGGCGGCUACGGUUGUCCACCGCAACCCGCCGUAGGCGACAAAAGCGCGACAGGCGCCGGCACUGCAUGAAAUGUGGCGGCGUCUCGACGCAGCCCCGCGGUCGCGCAGCAGGGGAGCGGGUCGGGAGGAAAAUGGCGACAAGCUGGAACCUCCCCGUCCCGUGGCUAAGUGGGGUAGUGGCGGAAGUUUUGGGGAGACGAUGACCUGGUGCGGUGCAAAGAAUCGGAUCCGAUUAGAAAAAACCGAAAAAAUCAGGAUAAAACUGAUGGUAGUCACAUGAGGACGGCCGAAGGCUAAUGUGGGGUUGGCCGGCUCGGAUACGGAAUAGCAAUUCGGUACCCGUACGGAAUAAUUCCGCAACCGAGCUCAACUUAGACCGCCUCCCAUUUGUUUUAACUCAUCCCCGGUUUUUUUUUCAAUUUUUUUUCUCCCGAUCGAAUCACCUCCGUCGUGGCUCCACUUCGUCCGUUCAAUUGCCUAUCCCCUCCCUGCUGCCACCCGCCCCCUCUCCCCACGUCACCACCGGCAGCGGCGGCGUGGAGUUCCGCCGCAAGCUCCACUUUCACUCGUCCGAGCUCCACCUGGACCCGUUCCCGCUCCUCGCCGCCAACCCCGUGCUCCGCUCGGCACCGCUACCGCUCCUCCGUGACUCCCUCCGCCUCCUCGCAUCCAACGGCUUUUCCGCCCGCGACACCACGCGCGUCUUCUCCGUGUUCCCAUCCUUCCUCACCUCCCCGCCCAGCGAGCCCCUCUGCUUCCUCUCCGCCGAUACGCCGCUCCCGCCGCCGCUCCUCCGCGCCGUGAUGGUCCGGUCCCCACGCCUCCUCGUCCGGUGCUUGCUCGCCGCCUGCCCGAGCUGCUCGCCUCGCUAUCGGCCUCCCGUUUCCACGCGCUUAGCCGUCGGCAGCGACGGACUCCACUCGCCAUCCGACCCCUGCGACCAUGAGAUCCAGACCCAAUCGGGGAGGCGAUCAAAGCCCAGCUACAACUCCGGUGAGAUCUCCCACCGGAGCAGUGGAUGAAGGCGGCGACAAGCCCAUCCGUACUCCCGACAGGUGGUGGUGCGGUGGUUGCCCCCUCCUCCCGUUUCCACCUAGACUUGGUGUCAUCCCCACCUCGCCAUGCGGAUUCAAGGUGCCCCCGCCCCCGCGAUGGCUCGGCGCGGAUCCAUGGCGGCCUCAUCCCCUCUCCAUGCAUGACAGCGCCCCUAGCGAGCUGCAAGCCGCACCGUGGCAGACGGCGGGUAGACUACGGGCAUGCUGCCAUGGUUGAUGGGAUUUGGGACGCCGAUCUGGGCAGAUCCUGCACGGCACGACGGUGGCUCCCUCCCUCCACGCGAUGUCUAGCCUAAGCUUCCCCAAGCGUGGCUCGUCCGCCUCCAUGAACGGAGCUCUAGGUUAGCUCCUGUCCCUGAUGGAGUGUACAGAUUCAAGAUUUCUGUUUUUUUCUAGUCACUCCAUCAUGGAGGUCAGCAACGAGAUCAGAAACGAGAUGUAUGUGUACUCAACUGGGACUUCAUGUUCCUGAAUUUCAUUCUCUGAAAUGCUCAACUGAAUCCGUAGUGUCCCUCCUUGGAUUCAGGUGAGGUGGUCACCAUGCUCCUCUCAUGCGUAUUCAGGAUUGUUAUGUCUUUCUCUUAUUCUGAAUUAUAGAUGUGCUAAUCAGAAAACACACUGAUGGAGAUAGAAAAAAGCUUGAUGCAGAUGUGGGUUAAUAUCCAUUUGAGAAUUAUUUCACAACCACAAUGGAGACCAGUCAUUUUACAUAAGAGUCUGUACUAUGCAGUUAACUGAUAGAGUGUACUUACAAAAGGUUAGGGUGGACUUCAACCAGGGUUCUGUCAGAUAUCAGAGUAUAUUGUACUAAGUAGAGUUCAGGUUUCUGCCUUGCUGGGCCCAUGUGAUUUAGAAUACUUUUUUGCAUGUUGCCUUAUUUACGACUGUCCAAUAUGUUAGAAAAGAUGUAUGUGUAAUCUAAAAGAAAGGUGUACAAUGAUCAGUGCUUACUAAAUAUAUGGGAUAAACAAGCAUGCCUUUGUUCUCAUAACAUGCAGUGGCGCUGAUUCGCUACUCUCUGCUCUUUGCUGUAUGCAGUUAAUACAUGAUUCGAGACUACUUAUUUCUCUGCUCUCAGUUUCUCUCACUCGUGUGCAGUUUGUGGACACUUUUAUUGUUGAUUCAUUCAAUACUUGAUUUCUUUGUUCUCAAUUUUAUCUCCUUCACUUGUGCGAAGUCUGGGGACACAAGGAGGAUAUUCUGCUGCACCUUCCUAUCCAGAACUUCAGGUCAAGUUCUUUGAAGUAUUACCAUGUUCAUUUUUUAAAUGGAUUGAUGAGUUUUAUUUGUGAAGAGUGAAGAUGCAUAUCUGUUCAGAAUUCAGGUAUUCAACAUGUUCACUUUCAGAGAUGUAAACCAUAUCUGAUUAGGUUUAAUUCCUGAGAAACUACUUUUAUUCAGAUUCUUCAGCUGCAUAACGAUACUAUAUUUUUAGAUCAAUAAUUCUGAUAGUGUGUACAAUAAUACAGAUGAAUCCGUUGAAUAUCAUUGUAAAUUAGAAUAAUAACGUAAUUUGCCAGAACCAGGGGUCGCUUAUCUUUUGUUUCCCUGUACUUAAACAAAUGUUAUCUUCAUCUUAACAUUAGCAUGGUAUCCUGGAAGAAAUAUCAGAGCUAGUGCCAUCGCUCCUAAGUCAUACUGAUCAGAUUUGCCAGUCCAAAUCUGCUAGCCUGGUAGGUCGCACUUGGUUGGCUUGAUUCACUGAUCUUUUAUCACCACAACUAAGAUGAGUUGGCUCUUUGCAAAAUCAUUAUAUUCACUUUCUGUUAGGAGUACAAUUGAGAUGGACCAUGUUUUAGAAAAUAAUUGGUUCUUCCGUCCAAAUUUUUUUUUGAUUCACAAUCUGCAUAUGGUAGCUGUGGGUAUCAUUGCACAAUGUACCAUGUAAAUUUUGUGUUGUUUAUGAUUGGGUCGAGUAUUAUUUGCAACCUGAAUUAAAGAAUGCCUUUUAGUAAUUGCAUUUUCAGUUGUAUAUACUGUUAAAGGAAUUUCUGAUUGAAGUAGCUAUCUUUUGCAUUUUCAGUCUUAGCAGUUAGCAUCAUUGUACAAUCUUUGACAGUAGUAUUGUCAUUUUCUUUUCAGGUCAAUGACAUUCGGAUGUACACCGGCUGGUGCGCUAUUGAUCAGCUCACACUGGAUAUAUUCCAUUACCAGAAUAAAUGCCUCACUGAUGCCCCCCAGCAAUAAGGUACGACGUGUCAUUUCCCCUGCUUCCAUCCUCAUGAAUUUAAUUAAAUCAGGCACAAUAAGGACUUAACAGUUCGAUGCCUAGCUCAAUGAUGCUAUCCAAUGACAGUCCAACUCAAUUCUCUUCAACAAUAUAAUAUCAUCAAUGCUCCUUUUUAGUAAUACGACUGUGCAAAACUGAGUCAAUCGUUUGCAAGUAUUGACAGGAUACAUAGCCUGGGAAGUGAACUAUCUUUGAUGUCUCGCUGAUUUCUGGAAUGUACUGUGGGGUUGCUGCUGCUUCUGUAGCUGGAAACGAUGGCCACAUGCUCGAGCAGUUAAUGGUGAGGACACCAUACGCCUUUCUCUUUACUCAUCUCACCCCAGUUCUGGCUAAUUGACUCUAAAUAAGUUUGUAUAAUAUAGCUAGAUACUAAAAGAAACCCUGUCUCUUGUAUCAGCUGCCCUGCUAUUUACCAAUUAGUACCUUGUUUUGGCCACUCUAAUUUGAUAGCUUGCUGGGUGUGCUCUUAGAACAUGAGCACAGACUUUUUUUUGACAGAAAACAUGAGCACAGACUUCAUUCGAGUUAUAUUGAAUUUAGAUAAUCCUAGUAGCGAAGAAAAUUGAUUCUUGUACUUACACCUAGGAUUUGUGUUAUUCAUUACCCAUGUCAAUGUCUGUAUCCAUUUGAUUUCAAGCUCUGUUUGUGAGAACAUCUAACUACAGCCAGUUAUUCUUUAUGCAGUACAAUGGUGUGUUUGUGACACAUCAUUAUGACAAUGGAUAGAGGUUGAUGAAUUAAACCAAGAAGUGGGAAAACUUGCUGGUGUUUUCCUCAAGCAGUUAGCAGUCCAAGAUUUAGUGACAGCAGGGAGCAACCAGUUUCGUUUUGUUCUUAGGGCUGAUAAUAGUCCAGCAACCCGUUCAGAUUGUCAACACUGCGGUACAGCGACAGCUGGAGAUGCACCAUAGUGUCACUACGGUGCUGAAGUACCUAGUAGUUAUUUACGUGCAUAGGCGGUGUGAGGAGUGCAUCCCUGCACUCGAAUUUCUGAUUUUGUUGUAAUUAUGAGUGCACACAUUCGAUUCUGAUUUUGUUGUAAUUAUGAGUGCACACAUUCGACUUUCUAGGUGUAGAGGUUAUGAUCUUUUCUAAUUUGCAGGAUAGUGUGGUAUGUACUCAUUUCAACUCAUUCUGACGAGGUCAACAUGAAGUUUGAGUUUGCAAUGUUUUUGCAAUGACAAAUGUCAUUAUUUUUUACCAAGAAAAUAACUUGAUGCUUGACUGUAUAAAAUUGAAUCCUUUACCGUCGCAUGUCAUGGCGGUGGCAGGCGGAGACAGGGUUCCGGCAGCGCAGGGCAGGCUAGCUAGUUGUUGUCUCCACGCGCCUUUGCGGUCUGUGUUCGGGUCAGUCCACCGCUCCUCCUGUGCCGCUGGCAGAGGAGGCCAACCCUGCCGCAGCGCCCAGUUCUGAGUUCGGAGCGGUGCGCGUGCUCCAGAGGGGCAGGGUCGCAGGGAGUUGCCGAGUUGGUGGCCACGCAGCGGCUGGAUGAUCCGCGGCCCAUGGCAACUGCCAACUUUAUCGCGCGGGGAGGGACGUAUCAAUAGCGGAGGACUAUAUAUAUAUUAUUAAAUUUGCUCACUGGUUUAACAUCUAAGAGUAGCAAGGCAGUUUUAUUAUUCACUCGUAUUUAAAUAGAAACGUGCAUGACUCCGAGAUAAACAGCGUAGACAAUACGGAGGCAGGCAAGAUGAUGUGCUUGAUGCUUCAGCCUCCAGGAAAGAAAGUUACUUCUUGCUCAGAAGCUUUAUUAGUUCCUUCUCAAUAUUGGCAAUGAUCUGCGGUGGAACCUCCUUGCCGGACUGGUAGUCCUCAAUCGCCUGUGGCUCCACGCCGAUCUUCUGCGUGUUACCAAAAUAGCAUAUGUAAAAUAAUGUGAUAGGUGUAUAUACAACCUUAUCGAUAGAACGUGUAGUAACCUGUGCAAGCUGUCCAACGUUCAGCUUCUUGCUCUUCCUGGCUUGUUUGAGUUUUUCCCUCAGGUCACCUGAAACACGUUCAAUCAUAAGAAUAUUGGUCAUGAAAUGGUUUUAGUGUGGCAAGUUUUGUCCAAUCGUUGGUAAUAAGGAACUGAAAACAUGGUUACAUGGUUACUAGAGAACUCGGUAUUAGUCCUAGUUGGUAGGGUGCAAAUCUCCCGAAAAUCCAUCCGGGAUAAACCAAUCAAGACAAAAGGGGGGUCUUUUAUCCCGGGUCACUCAACCGGGACUAAAGACCCCCUUUUAUCCCGGUUGGUAUUGGUUGGUAAUACCAACCGGGAUAAAAAGGGUCACCACGCCAGGCGCUGCAAAAAAAAAAUCCCGGGAGGCCCCCUGCACGUCACAAGUCACAAGUCACACGAUUUUUCACGCGAAAUAUGCGCGUGCACGCUGCGUGUGAUUCGAACCCACGACCUCCAGCCUCACGCGUAGCUUCCUUGCCAUCCCACCUACAUAGCACAUCUGACUAUAUAGGGGAUGCAAUCCUUUUGUAUUAACUCGUGGGGACCCUUUUAUCCCGGUUGGAAACACCAACCGGGAUAAAAGGGGUUAUCCCGGGAUAAAAGGGGUCUUUUAUCCCGGUUGGUGUUUCCAAUCGGGAUAACUCCUUUUAUCCCGGUUGGUGUUUCCAACCGGGAUAAAAGGGUUCGAGGGAUUUAGUCCUCUUUCAGUCACCCCGUUGGGGAUCUUUUUAUCCCGGUUUGAAACACCAACCGGUAUAAAAAAAAGGGUCUUUUAUCCCGGUUGGUAUUACAAAUCGGGAUAAAAUGCGUCUUUUAUCCCGGUUGGUGUUUCAAAUCGGGAUAAAAGGCCUCUCAGGGCUUUUUUUUUCCACUAGCCUUUGCAAUCGGGAUAAAAGGUCCUGGUUGGUGAGCCCCCGCCAGUGAUCGAACUUUAGUCCCGGAUGGUGAAAUUUUUAUCCCGGACCAACUUUAAAUCAGGACAAAAGGGGACGCAUGGAAGAUGAGUUGUCUACUAGUGUUACGAUGGGCUACAUUCUCUCAAUAAUCAGCAGUCCUUGUCUAACCGCACGGAUUUUGAAGGAAACAACUUUUGAACAAAUUUUAGAAGGCAAAGUGAAAUGCAUCCGUGGCCAUGUGCUGGAGUAAAUCCUGAUCCUUGCAGUGGAUCAGUGCAUGCCUGCUCCCAACCUUGCGUUUGUCCAUGUUCACGACCCCAGUAUCCCCCCGUGCUGCAUUCAUAUAUAUUGGUUUACGCUGCGUUGCUUGCGCUCACGUCAACUGCACUCCGAUCCUUUGAUGUCGUUUCGUAUCAUUAGAAAUGCUACAAAUAUAGUUAAAACCUAGAAAUUUCAAAAAAAAAAAAGACAACAUCUUACCAUCAAUUUUGUAGAUCCAUCAUUUUUAUAAUAAUAGCCAUUAGAACUAACUUACUUCUCUUUCAUCGUGAAAAUAUCAUAAAUUAAAUUGAUACUCUACAUUUGCUUCAAAAUUGCCCAUAUUUACCCCCCCUACGUCCGUAUCUAAAUACCCCAUCUCUACACCAUUUUUGAAAAAUAACAUAACAUACUACCCUCAAUUUCAAUCUAAAUUACUCAAUCCAUAAUUGUUAAAAAUAACCAAAAUUUAUCUCAAUUGGCUUAGACAAUUGUUCAAAACGUUGCAAUUCUCAUUUCUAUCAUUUCUCUUGGCGCAAAAAAUAUCUAUAUUUGCACUCUAUUCACUUAAUUUUUAAUUUUCAUAUUUUCAGACCUAGAAUUUCCGUAUACUGUAAUUCAUAUUCCCAUUCAAAGAUAUGUUAUCAACAAAACAAUUAUAUUUUAAGCAAAUGACGUGAAUGGAUUGUCAGAAUUGUUCUGUUAUAGUUCCCAUCACGGCGUUUAAAAGAUUUAAAAGAACGGUCUAGGGUUCAAAAAUCUUGGGUAUCGGCUUAUAUAUAAAAAUUCUAAACAUCAAAAUUUUCUUAUGUUUUUACCAUCGAGUGCAUUAGUUAUGUCUUUUGGACAUUUGUGUGGAGUAAUGAUCACGCUAAAAACCAUGAUUGAUCCUAUAGGUCUGAUUAUUUAUUGUGCAUGUUGCAAUUGAAACAAAUAAAAGCCAAAUAGAUACUGAAACAUGAAACAUGAAAAAUAUUUUUUUGGUAAAUAUACCAUUUUGAAUUUAUAUGGUAUAUAGAAAUGUAAAUACUCGAACACUUUAAAUUUCUCAUAUUCAUAUUAAUAACUUAUAUUUAUUUUUAUACGUAUUUUUUGUUUAGCACAGGAAACCUCUCUGUUUUAAUUUUAUUGUACCAGAGAUAUGAACUAGGUUGAUGGCUAACACUAUCCCACCAAACUCAUCAUAUGUCAUCCCUCCAUCCUAAAACGUAAGGCAUUUUAGAGAUUUAAGGACCUAUACACUGACAAAGUACACAUGUAUUCUUAAGUUAAGAUGUGGAUAGCUGUAUUUCCUUGUUGUUUUAAUGACAGUUGCAGAUAACAAGGAGCUCAAUUCACUAGACCCUCAAUCAACCAAACUAAUCCUUCUAACAGUGAUGAGAAUUGAUGCAAUUUCUUAAAUGUGCCUAGAAUACCUUAUAUUUGAGGAUAGUUUUUCAAUGAUUAGAUGCCUUGUAUUUCAUGAUGGAGGGAGUAUAGACCAUAAAAUUUGAUUCCCUCAACAAUACUAGUAGAAAUCAUGGGAGUAAGGCUUGAUACGCAUAUAAUAUAUUUUUUUGCUAGAGUUUCUUGUAUCUGAGAAUCAUAGACUAAACCUAUCAUAUAGUACCAUGUAGAGCAUCCAUCUCAUUUUUGACCCGGAAUUUAUUUUGGAUUUUGAAUAAAGUAACUAGAAAGCGAUAUAAUAGAGAGAAACAACUAGAUUGUUUUUCAAGCAUUGCAUAUACCGUCUAUGGAUUACCUAGAAUUUUUCGGUGUAGUAUGCAUCAAAACGUUUGAUAAUAUUCAAAAGAACCACAUGGGUAGACAGCAAAAAGUUUCUAAACGUUGCAAAUCGGUUAUGCGCUUACCACUAGAUGAACUAGCUGUGUUGUUUCGACCUAGUUGCCUCGAAUGAUGAUCACGCUGGAAACCGGGAACAGUAGAUGUCUGAUUAGUGUUAACUGCACCGCCUGUUGCACAAGAAACAAAUCAGAAAUGGAAUGGUUGUCCAAUAAUUUGAACAGAUGAAUUGUUGUAAAAUUAACUGCGACAUAUCUAGAACUAUAACAUCUCACAAUAUUGAAUUUAACAUAUCUAGUCAUGUUUUUGUAUAAAUUUGCUGUCCGUGUAAACCUUUUGUUUUUGCUGAAUAGCAAGCAAAAAAACCUUUACGCACAACUUUCUAACUGUCUUCUUUACAGACAGUACUAGGAUAACGUGCUUCCUAGGUUCCUCGAGUUUGGUGGGUACACGAUGUAUUACAUGGGUGUUCUGGUUUCAGCCCAUGUGGUAUAAUUAUUCUAGUACGGUGGAAUUAACGGUGGAAUUAGUACCACCUCUAUUGUAUAUGUGUAUAUAUUGUGUCUAAUUAAAUAUAAAAAUAUUUGUUGGCUUGCUGCUCUAAAUGUAGCACGGUUGUACUAUACAGAAUUUUUUCGGUAUUAACUACCACGUCAUUUAGCACAGUUUAUAGAACCAAACAAAAUAAAAAAUAUGAAAAAUAUUUUUUUUGGUAAAUAUGCCAUGUUGAAUUUAUAGGUAUAUAGAAAUGUAAAUACUGGACUACUUUAAAUUUCUCAUAUUCAUAUUAAUAAAUUAUAUUUAUUUUUAUACGUAUUUUUGUUUACCAAAACUUUUUGCUUAGUAUAUAUAGGAAGCACAGGAAUCCUCUCUCUGUUUUAAUUUUAUUGUACCAGAGAUAUGAACUAGGUUGAUGGCUAACACUAUCCCACUAAACUCAUCAAAUGUCAUCCCUCCAUCCUAAAAUGUAAGACAUUAUAGAGAUUUCAGGACAUAUUAGUAGGACUGACAAAGAACACAUGUACUCUUAAGUUAUGAUGUGGAGAGCUGUAUUUCCUUGUUGUUUUAAUGACAGUUGCAAGGAGCUCAAUUCACUAGUCCCUCAAUCAGCCAAACUAAUCCUCCUAGCAGUGAUGAGAAUUAAUGCAAUUUCUUAAAUGUGCCUGGAAUGCCAUAUAUUUGAGGAUAGUUUUUGAAUGCUUGGAUGCCUUGUAUUUUAUAAUGGAGGGAGUAUAGACCAUAAAGUUUGAUUCCCUCAACAAUACUAGUAGAAAUCAUGGGAGUAAGGCUUGAUACGCAUAUAAUAUAUUUUUUGGCUAGAGUUUCUUGUAAUUGAGAAUCAUAGACUAAACCCAUCAUAUAGUACCAUGUAGAGCAUCCAUCUCAUUUUUGACCUGGAAUUUAUUUUGGAUUUUGAAUAAAGUAAUUAGAAAGCUAUAUAAUAGAGAGAAGCAACUAGAUUGUUUUUCUAGCAUUGCAUAUACCGUCUAUGGAUUACCUAGAAUUUUUUGGUAUACUACGUAUCAAAACGUUUGAUAAUAUUCAAAAGAACCACAUGGGUAGACAGUAAAAAGUUUCUAAAUGUUGCAAAUCGGUUGUGCGCUUACCACUAGAUGCGCUAGCUGUGUUGUUUUGACCUAGUUGACUCGAAUGAUGAUCACGUUGGAAACCGGGAACAGUAGAUGUCCGAUUAGUGUUAACUGCACCGCCUGUUGCACAAGAAACAAAUCAGAAAUGGAAUGGUUGUCCAAUAAUUUGAACAGAUAAAUUGUUAUAAAAUUAACUGCGACAUAUCUAGAACUAUAACAUCUCACAAUAUUGAAUUUAACAUAUCUAGUCAUGUUUUUGUAUAAAUUUACUGUCCGUAUUAACCUUUUGUUUUUGCUGAACAGCAAGCAAAAAACCUUUACACACAACUUUCUAACUGUCUUCUUUACAGACAGUACAUGGAUAAUGUGCUUCCUAGGUUCCUCGAGUUUGGUGGGUACACGAUGUAUUACAUGGGCCUUUUGUGUUCUGGUUUCAGCCCAUGUGGUAUAAUUCUUCUAGUAGGGUGGAAUUAGUAGCACCUCUAUUGUUUAUGAGUAUAUGUUGUGUCUGAUUAAAUAUAAAAAUAUUUGUUGGCUUGCUGCUCUAAAUGUAGCACGGUUGUACUAUACGGAAUUUUUCGGUAUUAACUAUCACGUCAUUUAGCACAAUUUAUAGAACCAAACAAAAUAAAAAAUAUGAAAAAUAAUUUUUUGGUAAAUAUGCCAUGUUGAAUUUAUAGGUAUAUAGAAAUGUAAAUACUCGAAUACUUUAAAUUUUCUCAUAUUCAUAUUAAUAACUUAUAUUUAUUUUUAUAUGUAUUUUUUGUUUACCAAAACUUUUUGCUUAGUAUAUAUAGGAAGCACAGGAAUCCUCUCUCUGUUUUAAUUUUAUUGUACCAGAGAUAUGAACUAGGUUUAAUGGCUAACACUAUCCCACUAAACUCAUCAUAUGUCAUCCCUCCAUCCUAAAACGUAAGGCAUUUUAGAGAUUUAAGGACAUAUUAGUAUAGGACCGACAAAGAACACAUGUACUCUUAAGUUAAGAUGUGGAUAGCUGUAUUUCCUUGUUGUUUUAAUGACAAUUGCAGAUAACAAGGAGCUCAAUUCACUAGUCCCUCAAUCAGCCAAUCUAAUCCUGCUAACAGUGAUGAGAAUUGAUGCAAUUUCUUAAAUGCCUAGAAUGCCUUAUAUUUGAGGAUAGUUUUUGAAUGAUUAGAUGCCUUGUAUUUCAUGAUGGAGGGAGUAUAUACCAUAAAAUUUGAUUCCCUCAAUAAUACUAGUAGAAAUCAUGGCAGUAAGGCUUGAUACGCAUAUAAUAUAUUUUUUUGCUAGAGUUUCUUGUAUAUGAGAAUCAUAGACUAAACCCAUCAUAUAGUACCAUGUAGAGAAUCCAUCUCAUUUUUGACCCAUAAUUUAUUUUGGAUUUUGAAUAAAGUAUAUUAGAUUCCUCUAGAAAGCUAUAUAAUAGAGAGAAACAAAUUAGAUCAUUUUUUAAGCAUAUACUGUCCAUGGAUUACCUAGAAUUUUUCGGUAUAGUACGCGUCAAAACGUUUGACAAUAUUCAAACGAACCACAUGUGUAGACAGCAAAAAAUUUCUAAAUGUUGCAAAUUGGUUAUGGGCUUACCACUAGAUGAACUAGCUGUCUUGUUUCGACCUAGUUGCCUCGAAUGAUGAUCACGCUGGAAACCGGGAACAGUAGAGGUCUGAUUAGUGUUAAUUGCGCCGCCUGUUGCAUAAGAAACAAAUCAGAAAUGGAAUGGUUGUCCAAUAAUUCGAACAGAUAAACUGUUGUAAAAUUAACUGUGACAUAUCUAGAACUUUAACAUCUCACAAUAUUGAAUUUAACAUAUCUAGUCAUGUUUUUGUAUAAAUUUACUGUCCGUGUUAACGUUUUGUUUUUGCUGAAUAGCAAGCAAAACCUUUACACACAACUUUCUAACUGUCUUCUUUACAGACAGUACUAGGAUAAUGUGCUUCCUAGGUUCCUAUUGUUGGGUUGAGAAUGCUUGGGUUCAAUCUUGUAAACAAAUGUUAAUUGUAAACAUUGCAAUUUGGAUAUGCGCUUACCAUUGGGUGCACUAUUUGUGUGUUUUUUUCACCUAGUCUUGAGUGAUGAUUACGCUGAAAACCGGGAACAUUAGAGAUCAGAUUACUAUUGAUUGCGCCGCCUGUUGCAAUAAAAACAAAUUAGAAAAACAAAUUAGAAAACUAAUGGGUGUCCUGAUAAUCUGAACAGAUAACUGUUGUAAAAUGGACUGCAACAUAUCUAGAACUUAAACAUCAUCUCUUCAAUUUAAAUUAACUAGUCAUGAUUUUGUAUACAUUUACUAUUUGUGCCAACUAUUUUUAUUGCCUAUAAAUCAAGCAAAAAGCCCGUACACUCAGCAUCCUAGCUAACUGUCUUCUUUACGGACCGUACUAGGAACAUGUGGUUACUAGAGUACGGUACACACUGUAUUACAUGUUCCUUAAAGUGUUCUGCAGGUUUCGGCCUCUGUGGCGUAAGUAUUCUAGUAUGGUGGAACUCGUAUGACACCUAUUGUUUCUCCAUGUAUGUUGAUUAUAAUUAACAUAUAAAUCUUUGUUCGCAUGCUUCUCCAAACGUAGCACCGCCCAAUUAGCAUUUUUUAUAUGAAGCGAGAAAUUGCAACAUAUAGAUUGGUGUAAAUGAACUGCAACAUAUCUAGAACUUAAACGUCUCACAUUCAAUUUAAAUAAAUUAGUCAUGGUUUUUGCAUAUAUUUACUGUUUGUAACAACUAUUUUUUCUUACCAAGCAAAAAAAAGCCCUUAUACACUCAGCAUCCUAACCGUCUUCUUUACAGACAGUAAUAGGAACAUGUGGUUAUACUACGUUUCCCAGAGUACGUGUACACUCUGUAUUACAUGGUCCUUUUUGGUGUUGGGAUUUGGCCCCUGUGGCCUAAGUAUUCUAUUACGGAUUUACAACGGUGGAAUUAGUACCACCUCUGUUGUUUAUCUGUAUAUGUUGAGUCUAGUUAAUAUAUAAAUCUUUGUUGGUUUGCCGCUGGAUUAAUAAUUUUACAUGGAUUAGUAUAUGUUCAAUCAGAUUGACAAAACCUCUAAACCUUACAAUUUGAUUAGCGCUUACAUUGGAUGUACUAGCUCUGUUGUUUUGACCUUGUCUCGAGUGAUGAUCACCGGUAGAGAAACGAGCAUUAGUCUCGAACUCCCGGUUGGGAAACCUCAUAGAUCUCGGUUUUCCUAACCGAGACUAAUCAUUCAAGACUAAGACCCGAGAUUAAAGGGUUUUGCGCUAAAAAAAUAUUAGAAAUUCUCAGGAGGCCCUCCCCACAUACGCACGUCGCAAGGCAUAAGUCACCUGAUUUUUCACGCGAAAUAUGCACGUGCACGGUGUGUGGGAUUCGAACCCACGACCUCAAGACUCGCAUGUAGCUUCCUUACCAUCUCACCUACACAGUACAUCUAACUGAGUAGAGGAUGCAAUCCUUUUGUAGUAACUUGUGGGGACCCUUUAGUACUGGUUGGUGUACCAACCGGAACUAAAGGUCACUGAGGCUUUAGUCCGGGUUUGUAACACCAACCGGGACUAAAGGAUCACCUUUAGUCCCCGUUGGUGCCUCUUUAGUCCCGGGUCAAAAACAACUGAGAUUUUUGUUGAGGAUGGGAGGUCAUUUUUCUACUAGUGGAUUAUGCGGAAAACUAGUAGCAAUAGAGAUCCGAUUACUAUUACUUGUGCCGCCUGUUAUUGCAAUAGAAAUAAAUUAGAAAACAAAUGGUGUCCAAAUAAUAUGUACAUAUAAACAGUUGUAAAACAAACUGCAACAUAUCUAGAACUUAAUCAAUUUAUAAAUUACUCAUGGUUUAUAUAAAUUUAGUGUUUGCAAUAACUUUUUUCUUUUGCCUAUAUAGCAAGGAAAAAAAACCUUAGACACAACAUUCUAAAAGUCUUCUUUGCAAAAAGAGCUAGAAACAUGUGGUUUCUAUAGUACUGGUACACACAGUAUUACGUGGUCCUUAAUUUGGUGUUCUGGUUUUGGCCCUUGUGGCGAAAGUACUCUAGUACGGUGGAAUUACUAUCACCUCUAUUGUGUAUUUGUAUACGUUGGAUCUAUCAACUGCUCCCUCCAUCCCAAAUUACUAUUUAUUUUGAUUUUUAUAGAUACAUAGCUUUUGGUAUGCAGCUAUAUAUAUAUAUAUAUACACACACACUAUGUCUAGAUACGUACCAAAAGCUACGCAUGUUAACAGUAAUUUGGGACAGAGGGAUUAAUAUACAAAUCUUUGUUGCCUUGCCGUUUUGAGCAUAGCACCGCUGGCUUGUUUCUUCGAUGCACCUAUGUUAGCAUUAGCCUUGAUGCACCUAUUUUGUGUCCUGCUUCCGCACAUAUGACAUAUGCUCUAGAAGUGAGAUGAGCCGGGGCCUCACCUCAUCUUAUCCAAGGCGGAGAGCUGGGAGAACGAGAGAACACCAUAUCCAAUCAUCAGUGAUCACACAAGAAGCUCGCCUCGCAUCCUUGGCGUUGGUGCCAUACUGUGAACCCUAGCGAGUUUGCUAUGCCACCAUGCAUAUGCUGCAGCCUCUAUGUUCCCAGAUGAGUAUGCUUCCAAAAGCAUCACCUUGGUUUCGCAGGACAGCAGGCUAUGACGAUCUCGCACCACUGUGCUGCCGUGUGCACUUGUGGUCAAGGAGGACAAUUUGCAACCACGUUGUACAACCACCAUCACCAUCUAUAACAGUCGUCCCCUUCAUCCGUCUUAUUUAUCAUACCACCUUUUUCUUAUCUCCAACACCUUCAACUUAACCAGGGCAAUCUGAAAUUUCAGUCUCUUCCUGAAGUCAAAGUUGUAGUAUUCUACGAGAUGUACAACUUUGUAGUAGGCUGGUCUCCGGGGUCGUUUCCCUAGCAGAGCUGGUUGGUUUCUGCAGAGAAACUAACAAGAUGUUGCAUCUUGUUACAAUGGUAGAGUCCCACUGAACAUGUUUUUUGCAAGAGAUAUGGAUCGCCCUGUUGUUCCCAAUAAUUAACUCUUGCUGACCGCUCCCAUCCAGAUGUUCAUGACAGUUCUCGAUUGUGAAAAAAGCUGCUUCUAAGGAAUGAUGAAUCACCUAACACUCCAACAACCGAAUCGUACAGAGUGCAAAAAUCCGACUCACUUCAAACACCCGAUCACGGCAAAUUAGGUAAUAAAAACAGUCAAGAGGGCUGUCAACUUAAAUGAUUUUGAAUUCCUCUCGGUCGAUCUUGACAUGGAUAGUCCACUGGGUCAUUGGCUAGAGAAGUACCGCCAAGCAAAGGGAGAGCAAUCCACGCGGCAUAAGAGUGAAGGGGUUAACUUUUUCAUUUUAGUUUCAUUUUGAUGUCCAAAUAUUAUAUAUAAGUUCAGUGAAGUUAAUAGAAAAAUAGCAUCCCUAUACCAGACAAUAGUACUGUGUGGUGUGGUAGUAAGCAGUAAGAGCUAGGCUGAGGCUUGAUGUUGUGAGUUUAAAUCCUACUGGAAACACACUUGCUUAUUUCGUGUGAAAUCCAAUGUGUUCAACCUUGAGAUGGGCGAUGGUGUGAUAGUUGCUGGCCUGGAUAAAAUUUCUCUUUCCACAGUUAUCUAUUUUUAUAGACAGUUUUUUUACAAAAUUAUAACCAUCGGUUAGUAAUUGCAUGUGAAGAAUUAUUGACAGAGAGGCCAUUCACUUUCUAUGGGAUCGAACUCACAUAGACUCAAAAUUUAAUCUCUGUUUCAAAUUAUAGUUCAAUUUAUAUUUGUUAUACGUCAACCUUCUCUAAUAUUAAAUUAUUAAUUAAAUUUUAUUAAAUCUAUCAUAAAAUAUGUUUACAUAGUGAAUUUAUUUGAUACUGUAUAUAUAUACUAAUGUAUUUUUUACUAAAAGUACGGGUGGAGGAAGUACUUUAAUUACACCGGGGAACUCUAUGUGCGGACGCGAUCCUUCGCAUAAGUAGUGCAAGGCCCAACCCACUCACAGACAAGGUUAGUUUUCACCAGGUUUUGAUAGUCGAAGUAUCCCUAGAACCACCACUUCUUGGUCGGAGGCUGGUCCGUCGGUCGACAGCUAUAUGCAGCAGGGCAGCAAGGUGGCGUGGCGCCGCCAGGAGCGGAUGGAGUUGUGGCCGGCAAUUACACUAGCGCGGCUGAGGAAAACAUACGCCGGGUCGCCGGCAAAAGGUUGUUAUCCGGAUCGAGGUUGAAGGAAGCGGAUGGGUCGCACUCGCAAGCUUGCUCCUUCAACUUCGUCCUUCCAAUUUACAUAUCUGCAUAUAUAGGAACGGUUGCAUAGGUUUAAUUUGGCUCGUUCUUCCUUUGUUCGGGAACAUGCAUGAUCAGCUAACGCUGAGAACCUGGAGCGGGUACACAACCAUGUGAUAAAAAGCCGCUUCAUUCAUGAAAAAGGGGGAAAAAAAGAUGUCCCAAAGUUUCCCACAGAACUAAAGAAUAAAUUGGAAACGUGCAGCGAUAUUCAAGUCUCAUUUUAUAACCCACAAAUUCAUCCUAAAAAAACUAAUAAGCAACGCAUAUGUUCUAUGCAUGACAGCAUCACAUGCACGAAGGCAUAGCACGUGAAAACAAAACAAAAAGAAUCGACUUACCAUUUUUGCUUGGUCCCGUCGACUGCCCAGCGCUUGGCUUUUUAGGGUCCAUGUAUGCUUGCUAUAUGGUCUUCUUCGCGUGUACACCAGCUAGAGGCUACCAUUUAUAUACGAAAUUUAGCUAGGUGUAGACAAAAAAACCAUGAUAUCAACACGUCCGGUUGACGUACUAUGCUAAUUCGUCUUCGUAGACAAAAGAGAUUUCUUGCCGUGUGUGAAAUAUCUUUGCAGGAAAACAUUAUGCAAGUUCCUAUCUAGUUAAUAUAUGCCGGUUGAUACGGUAUUCUGUCACUAUACAUUCAUCGCGGCCUCGAUUCGUUGACUACCGUAUCAACCAAACAAUUAAUGAUGGGCGUAACAAAUGAUUUUUUUUGUUUAGUUUAAUCUCAUUUUAUGCAGUACCGACUCUGUGUUUGUUGGGACCUAAUUAUCUUGUAUAUCUACACAAUUAGAGAAACACUCACCUGUAUUGGUUCAUCUAUGCUGGAUAAUUGAGAGUCAACUUGGUUAAGUCAUUUGUGCCGGCUCUCAACAAUAGCCGGCACUAGAUCUAAAUAGAGCCGGCAGGGAUACUUUAAGGACUUUCCGAGCCAAUUGUAUUUAGAAUCAGCGGGGAUAGUCCAUCUGCACUGACUUUAUAAAGAGGCGUCGUGGAUAAUUUUUCCAUAUUUGUUAUGUGAAUUUUAGCUUGUAUUUGAAAAUUUAUAACAUUUGCAUACGGACCCGGAUGGAGACAAACUUAUAUAAAGAAAACGAUAAAUUUUGAUAGGAUCUACUCCUCCGUUCCAAAUUGUAGGUCGUUUUGACUUUUCUAGAUUCAUAGAUAUUAUUACGAUGCAUUCAUAGAUAUUAUUAUGAUGCAUUCAUAGAUAUUAUUACGCAUCGUAAUAAUAUCUAUGAAUCUAGAAAAGUCAAAACAACUUACAAUUUGAAAUGGAGGGAGUAUAACUUUAUAGUAGUUUUUUAGUUUGAAGUCAUGUAAAUACCCAAAUAAUGGGUGAAAGCUCGAGGCAACUGGCGUAAAGGUAUAAAACUCCCUCUUGUGUGAAGUUAUGUCGUGUACAUUGGACGGUAAGGAGCGUGAGAUCGAAAGCUAGAUACACCACAUGUGUGCGUAUUUCACGUGAAAACACGUGAUGUGCCUUCUAACACGUGACGGUUAGGGUUUCUCAGGGGUAGCUGGCCUUCCAGGACUAUAUUUUUUUGCUAUCUAUUUUUCCAAUUUCUAUUUUGACUAUCCAUGCCGUAUGCAGCAACUGACAUGGAUACUUAUCGUCCGUGCUGGCUAGCACCGCCAGUACAGAUAUGGUACGUGGUGAGUAUUUUUUUUUUUUGCAUCGGCUUUAUGUGCUAGUAUGAUAACCACCCCGGAUGAGAUUUUAGAGACUAUCACGGAAAGGUGGUCUCCUGUAAAUACAAGUUGGCCUGUUAGAAUAGGAUUAUUUUUCACGGUCAUAGUUAUACCUCAAAGUAACCGUCCUAGUUAGUCGCUGCACAUUCGUCAUAGCUGGUUUGUUUGUUUCUUUCGAUCAUAUCGAUGCAAACGAUGGACGGCACACCAGGCCACAAAAGCUUUUUGCUAGCAGUUAGAAGUGGUUUGUGAUCGUGCCCGCCAGUAAUUUUAAGCCAGCACAAAUACCUAUUUGUGAUGGUGGGUGCUCACCCGCCAGCAUAGAUCACUCUCUGCUGGCCGGCAUCCUUAGCCACCCUCCAGCACAUAUGCUUUCUGUGCUGGCGAGUGUUGUAAUGGUUCAUGUGCUGGCAAGUGCUUAUGCCGCCCAUAGUUAAAAUAUUUUUCUUAAUCUAAAAAAUAGUUUUUGUGUAUCGUAAUAGUUUCAGAGAGAAAUAUUUAAGAUGGAUUAUUCAAAAUUAACAUGGAAGACGAUAAGGAAUAAGUAAAACAGUAAUAUUGAAAAUUCAUCAAAUCGGCACGCGAGCCUAUUAUUUCUCAACAAACCUACGACGGAUACUUCCAGAAAAAAAA